Molecule: long non-coding RNA, 55234 nt
Filed under: Vitis vinifera (wine grape)
Lineage: Eukaryota; Viridiplantae; Streptophyta; Magnoliopsida; Vitales; Vitaceae
Description: long non-coding RNA (VVIN_LNC001572)
Source: RNAcentral
GGCAGAGAUGUGGAUAAUACCAUGCAUGUACUGGAUAAUACCACCUAAUAUCUACACCCAGAGUAGCAGAAAAGUCAGAAGAAACUUAAGGCUAAUACAACAGGACAAUGGCCUUUCGACCUAUACAUAUAUAUAUAUACACAUUGCGAUAUUGUAGGACCACCAUGUCCUCUUUGGACUAGUAUGCGCCCUAUACUUCACGGUCUACCCUAAUUAAUCAGCCCUGAAUCGAAAGAUACCCCAGUCGAGGGCAGCCAGGCGUUCCCAGAUAUGAAUUCCCCAACAGUGAACUCUUGAGCGACACUGGCCGUGAGUUCACCCUGGUACCCACCCCACUUGACCCGCCCGGACGUUGACGCCCCAGGCCCUGCAUUCAUGUACUCGCCGUAAAACAAUGUGCUCAGGGCAAAGCUUCCAGACCAGGGAUACCACCCGGAAGGGGGAAUUGAGCCAUCCAAGUAUGACUGCAUGAUCACAGUUCUGGAAUACUUCUUCCAGGGUCGGCCAAGAUACGUGGUGGACCCCUCUGUCGUGAUCUUGCAGUUAUGUAUCGAGAUUCCGGUGUUCUGAUUGGGAUCCUCCCGGCCCUGGGCCGUCACGAAGUUGUUAUUGCUGGAUUUUCUGGCGUUAAGGUUGCAGCUCUGGAAGACAACCGCGGAGUUUCCGAAAAUGAAGUCUACGGUCCCAUAUAUAUCAGUCUCUCUGUAGAAUUGACGCUUGGAGAGAGUGUAGAGGGUGUCCUGGUAACCGAUAAUGGAGCAUCGGAAGACCACAGAUCGAUCCGAUCCGACUCGAAGGGCAACAGCCUGCCCCUUGCCCGGACCCGCAUCGUUCUCAAUGGUUAUGUCCCGAGCAAUGAAUCCAUCGCCCAUCACACCUGAAGGACCCAAAGUUAGCAAGGUGGCAUCAUUUUCAGCAAAAAUUUGCAUACUUCCAACAAAGAAAAACAAAUAUCAUCUAAGAAAUCCAACCUUCUUUUUCUUUUUUGGUAAUUUGGAUGUCGAUAAAAUAAUUGAAAAAAAUAAUUAAAUUAUUUAAAAAAAUAAUUCUAAUUUUUCCCUACUUUAUUUAAAAAAUACAUCAAAAAAUUAAUAAUAAAGGUUGACUAUUUUUAAAGCUUAUAUUUGUUAAUUAAUAUUUUUAAAUAAAGGUGGACUACAUCUUUUAUAUUAUUACUUAAUAUUAAUAAUAAGUUUAUUUUAGUUAUAUUAGUUAAUAUCAAUAAAUUACUUUUUAAUUGAAUAAAAAAAUAUAUAUUUUGACUUUUUCUAUUCAACCAAAAGACAAACAACAUCUUAUACCAAAAGGAUAAUAAAAUAACUUACUAUAUAUAUGAACAAAAAUAAAGUUAAAAAAGAAAAUCUAUGAUACUUAUUAAUAUCUAAUUGAACUUUUAAUAUAUCCACGUAAAAUUAGUAUCGAUUAUUUAAGCAAAUAAUUAAAUAGAAUUAUUAAAGAAAGCAAAGAAGUUUAAGUAUGACCUAAUUAGAUCAUGGAUGAGAUAUAAAAUAAUAAAACUUCAUGUACAAAGUAAUAAAAUUAAGGUAGGAUUAAGUUAUGCAUAUAGUAGUCCCUGAGUUACAAUAAUUUCUCCAUAUGGUACGGAAGAGGUACCAUUAAGUAUCAUAAUCGAAUGUUCAGACCAAUAUAAUGAUAUCAUAAUUGAAUGGAUCGUAUGUGUUCAUAUUUCCACUUUUUAAAAUUAAUCGAUGUCCUCUAUAUGUUAAUAUAUUUGUUUUUAUGAGUUUCAUCAUAUUUGUCAAUAUGUUUGUUUCGAUGGAUCUCAUCAUAUUUGUUAAUAUGUUUGUUUCUAUGGGUCUCAUCAUUUUCACAUUGUUUUUAGUACAUGUCAAUUUAUGUUUAUAACAUUGUAAUAGAAAAUCAUUUUCAUGUGACAAUAUAAAUUGUUUUAUUAUCUCACUAUAUUUUCAAUUAUCUAGAUUUAAAUUAUUUCUAUUAAAUAAUGAAUUUUUUAUGGUUCUUAAACCUUGACUUAAAGUGAUUAAGACACUCCUUGGAUUAUUUAAAAAUAUCUUUACGAUAAUUUUAAAAAUUCAAUUUUAAUUUAAAUUUUAAAAUUAUUGCUUUGGACUGUUACAUCAAAAUAAUAGAAGGUUGCAAUUUCAUAUAUUUGAUUUUCUAAAAUAAUGGCCAUUUUAAAAAUAAUUUCGAAAAAAAUAAUUAAUUAAUUUCUUAAAAAAUAUAUGUUUAAGGAUGAAAAGAUCUUACCGACGGUGGCGGAAUCGUAGGUUGAGGAGCCGCCAGCGUAACUUUUGUGACCCACAAUGACGGUUUUGCCCUUCCCGUCACCUACUAACAUAACGUUUUUUUGGCUGGAAGGGAUCUUAAGACCCUCGUCAUAAGUCCCAGCUUUCACGUGAAUUACGGUUCUACCCUCGCCCUCCAAUGUGACCACCAUCGCUAAAGCCUCACCAAUUGUCUUGUGUGUCCCACUGCCAUCCUUGGCCACCACUGCAGUGGCCCCAAUCUCCUCUACAGAAGCUUCCAGAAGCUUCCUUUCCGCCGCCGUCACCCACCCCGGAAACCUAUCCGACAGCAGCCUCCGGUGGUGGCCGGCGGUGUUGGUUCUUUGUGCCUCCUUUGAUGGCCUUGUGGACAUAUGGAGUGCUAGAGAAUUGCUGAUGGAGUAGGUCAAAUUUUGUGCCAUGGGCCGCAUUAGACCAUUUUGGCCUCCAGUCUGGUAAGUCUGGAUGCUCUCCAGGCAUGUAGCUUGGUUGGUCAGCGCAGCGCUGAGCCAAGUUUGGACGUCGUCGGGAUCUUCGAUUAGGGUUUUGCGGCGGUUCGCGACGUUGGUGAGUUGGUCUAGAGUGUCAUCAAGUAGCUCCAUACAGUCAUCGGUGCCGCGAACGAUCUGAGUCUUGUGAUCAAGCAGCCUGAGAUCAUGAACAUGGGCACGGGCUGAUCGCGCUUGGUUGAGGCUGAACUGCACUGAAAGAUCGAAGAGGUCGGCCUGGGUUUGAGGGACAGCGCCAUUGGUGGAUGAGAGGAGAGCUGACUGGCAUGCUGUUUGGUAGAAGGUGGCUUUGCAAGCUGCAGAGACAAUGGCUUCCAUAGAGGCUUUAGGGACUGUGGAGGUGUGGGAGGAUGAGGCUAAGCCUGAAACUGCAGUGGUUAAGGCCAACACUAGAAAGAUUGUGCACCCCCAUGAAAGGUGUUUGCUUGGUGUGCCACCAUGGGAGGAGCUUGGUCUUUGAUGAAACAUGCUUAUUGAGAUUAAGCGAAUAAGAGAGAAAGAGAGUAGGCGAGAGUUGAGGAUGGAUCAAACACAAGCCUCAAACCCCUAUUUAUAACAAUUUUUGUUGCAUCAUCCCUCGCAUUGCCAGUAAAUCACUGUCUAACAUCUUUUAAGGUUUAAGGUUUAGGGUUUAAGGUUUAAACUUUAAUGUUCGACUAUGCAUGUUCGACUGUGCAUGCACAAUUGAGUUUUAUGUGUGAUAUAAAUAAAAAAGAAACACGUCAUCAUUCGAAAAGAAAAACACUAUAAGCACUUUUAUAAAACAAAAUUUAUAAUCAUCCAUUAUUAUCCGAAAGCAAAUGCAUGGUAAUACUUGAACUUGAUAAAGGAGAACGAAAAGUUGUCAAAAGAGUGAUAAUUGUCACAUUGAUGUAUUAAGUUGGGUGGAUCCCGCAACAAGAAAAUAUAAGAAUAGUCACAUAGAAGACUAGCUAGCUAGCUAGCUUAAACUUGGUGGUUCAAAGUAAGCACCAAUUAGAUGAAUUUAAUUUUCAAAGUCUUUGUCGCCAAAAAUGAAAAGAAAAAGAAAAAUAUGACCACAUAAUAUUAAAGUAUCUUUAAACAAGAGGCAUCAAAUCGUGAAAUUAAUUAAUAAAAAGUUCUAUGGCUUUCCAACCACACCAUUUCCUUCUUCUUCUUUUUUAACCUCUUUCAUUUUAUUGGCUCCAUUUUCUUCCAAGAUGUGAUAAGUUGAAUGAUGGGCAUAUUGAGUUAUUUUAUCCAUAUGACUAAGAGAAUUAUAAACGUGUAUCAUGAUAAUGAAAACAAAUGUUUUUAAAUAAUUGGUGCUUUUAAAAAAAAAAGGAAAAAUAAUAGUAUUCCAUGAUUUAAAAAAUGACUUAUGCCUGAUUUGGUAACUGUUUUUAAAAUGGUAUUAAAAAUUAGUUUUUGAGAACUAUUUCUUGAUGUUUUAUAAAAUAAAAAUCUGUUUGAAUUUUUGAAAUAUUUUUAACAUAUUUUUAAUUUUUUUAAAUAUAUUUUUUUAAAAAAAUUAUAUCUAAUGAUUUAUUUUUAAUUAUUUUAUAUGUUUGUAUAAUUAUUUUUUAAAACAAUCCUCAAAAACAAAUGAAAGCAACUACAUGUAUUUUUUAAAAAUAUCUUAUUUUCUAAUUAUCAAAUGUGUUUUCCUUUUUAAAGGACUAGAAAAUUGUUCUUAGAAAUAAUUUUCAAACAAAUCCUUAACUUUUUUCUUUUAAAAAUAAAUAAUUCCUAAAAACAUGUUAUUUUGCUACCAAGAAGACCCUUUCAAAGUUUGUUCUUUUCUCUAUAUAUAAGUUUUUUUUUUUUUGUUUUUUUUGGUGUUUCUUUCCUUUGAUGUAUCCCUAAGGCUUGGAACUGUCAAAAGAAAAAUAACAUGAUGACAAGAGCAAAUUGGAAACGUAUAAAAUGAGUGCUGAAAUUCAAAAUUGGCGUCCAGAUUAUUCUAACCCAAGAAAGGAGUUAAUCAUAAAUCAAGUCUGGUCCACAAUCCCAAUGGAACCCACCAUGCAGUUAGUGACCUGCCCCUAUAAUAGUCAACAAAGUUCACCUUACUCACCUUGGGCAAUUAGCAAUUUUGAUUCUUUCCAUAGUCUUUACCGUCUACUAGGCAGUUAUUAAAAAAAUUUACUUUCAAACUUUAAAUUUUUUUUUUUUCUAUAACUUAUUAUAAAUUUUGUAGAAUAGAAAAAAUCAAAAUAUUUUUUUAAAUAAAAAAAAUAAUAUAUUUAUUUUUAUUUACUUUUUAAUACUUAAUAAAAAUAAAAUAUUAUAAAAACAAACUUAAUAUUUAAAAGCAUUAAUUACUAUUUAGUAAGAGAAACAAACACCACCACCACCUAAGGCUCCGAUAUUUCAAUUUCUAAAAACGGCCAAAAAUAAUUUCCAAAAAAUCUUAAUUCUCAUGUUGCCUUUAUAUUGAAAAAAGAUAAAUUAAAUGUAAUACAUUUUGAAUUUCCAUUUUGUAUUUAAAUUGCAUGUGAAGUUAAUGAACUUAAGAAUGGAAAAAAAAAAUUCUAAGUUUAAGAAAAACCAAAGAGUGAGAUUUUUAGCCUCUAAAAUCUCAUUUAAGGUUAAUUCAUUGACCUCUUUAUGGUUUUAGUUAAAUACACCUGACCUUCAUAGGUUUGAAAUUUCAUCAUACACCUCCUUUAUUUUUAUCGGAAGUUAAACAAAAACAAAAAAUGAAAAGGACAAUGAAAAUAUGUGAUAAAAUUUCAAACUUAUAAAAAUUAAAUAUAUUUAGUUAAAAACUUAAGGAAGAUGAAUGAAAUUAACCCAAUGAAGAUUUUUCGCGAUUGAUAUUUUUCCUACGAGCACUCUACCAUCCAUCAUAUAAAUAAACUAAUUAAUCUGAUAUACAAUGAUGACAGCUCAAAAGGGAAAAAUAAAUGCCACCAUUUUUGGUUGUCCUUGUCUAAGUGAAAGAUGGACAAUUUCCGUACAUGAAAAGCAAAUCAGGAAAAUGAGAAUUAUUUGCCUGAUUAUGGUGAACCUGUAAUGAAAAAAAAAUCUAAAAAUGUAGAAGGAUCUGUGAUUACUGAAAUAUAACCAACAGAUUAAGAUAGAUUUUGAUUUAAAAUAAAUGAAAGCAUUGUAUCAAAUCGAUCGAAGGGAUAAUACCAACAGAAAAAUGAGUGGCAUUGUGUGGCUUUGCUUGUUGCUCCUCUCCAUUCACAGACAAAAACUAGUGCUGUAUAUAGUAGAAGGCCCACUGCUGAAAGAGAUGUGCUGGAUGUCCACAAGUCCAAGCAUGGAAGGCAAUAUGAUGGUUUCAUACCCACGGAAUGCUAAAAAGCUAGUUUCUUUACAGAACUUUUCAUUGAAGUUUCAAUACUGAAUUAUACCCCUCUAAUCAAACAGUCCCUUCAACCUGAUCCAGUUCUCUUAUCUACAGUGAGACUAUUAAUUAGCAUAGUGCAUUCUUAUUCACUACUUGUAGCUUUUCUCAAUAAUACUUGAUUAGAAAGCUUACCAAAAUAUGCAUAAUUGAUUAGAUCGAAUAGCUGGCUAAUUUCACCUACAAAUGCAAAUAUAAAGUGGCUGAUAUAAGUGGAAUGGGGUCUACUACUAUGGGACCUUUUGGAGUUUGCAGGCAUAAUAGUCCUUAACCAUCAAUUCAUGAAUGGGUUUUGUUAACAACCGAUGAAUUAUCAUUUGCUAGUCUUCUCAUUAUCGCAUAAUUAAUAGUGGUGGGCCGAAAAGCCAAGGAGAAUUGGUCAAUGAAAAACAAGAUGGGGGCCUCAGCUUGUGGUUGUUGGUGAGCUUUUGAGAUGGAUUCUUCACCAGCCUAGAUUUAUAUAUAUAUAGUUUGCUAGAAAUGAAAUUAUUGCAGUCUUUCACUCUUAAAAGAAGCUUUAAAACCAUGGGUGAUGGAGUAAAUAUGGCCAAGAUGCAUAUGUAUGGUUAGGAAUAUUCCACUCAUCAAAGAUAUUUUCCAAUUUAGAUAUAUGAGAAGUAUGCCAAAUAUAUAUACUGAUAUUGUAAUUUAAGUCAGAUGUGCAAAGAAAUUAGCAAACCCCGCCUUAGGCAUUUGAAAGUUCCUUCUUUCAGAGCAAAGUAAAAUCACUCGACUUCAUGGUUUGACCAGAAAGAAACACAAAAUCUAGUUGCCAAGAAAAAACUAUUGCAAGCAUAAGAACAUAAGACAUAUCAAUGGCCACGUACCUUGCUCUAACACCUAAAAAAAAGAAAAAUCUAGUCAAGGGAACUUCCGAAAAGAAGCUUAAAAUUCAAAUAAAAGUAUUGUUUGAAAGAAGGAACAAGGGAUAUUGAUGAAAAGAUCUCUCUCUUUACGGUAUAAACAAAGGUAAUCUAGCCUCCUUAGUAAGAUUAAAGAGAGGAACAAGUCGUCCCUAGUUCCCUUGUGCUGACAAAAUCUAAACCCUCUCUUCUAUUUUUCACUGCACAUUUUUUAAUAAAGAGGUAUGUUCAGAAAAUGAUCUUUUUUGCAUCCAACUUGCCAAAUUAUUUGAAGAAAAUUUUAGCAUUUCUUUUUCAUUUUUAAUUUUUUUUUUUUUUCUUUUGAAUAUGUUACCAUCAAAAGUUAAAAAAUGAUGAACAAUCCUCAUCCUGUUCAGCCAAAUUGACAUCAACUAACAAGCUUGGACUGACAAGUGUCCUUGUGUUAAUAAUUAUAAGCUCUCAAUGGUUUGAGUUUCCACCAAUCAUAAGAAAUUUUUUGACAGACUGAUAAUCAGCUUAUCUUGGCUCAUUUGCACCUUGAGACAGGUGAAAGAAUAAACUAGAAAUUCAGUCCUUUCUCCUAGGAAAAUCGAAACAAUGGGCUGAAAAGCUCAAGGGGACAUUAACUUUAUUAAUCACAUUAUCAAUUCAUCAUUUGGGGAGUGUCAUAAUCCAAUUUUUGGGUGGAAGGUUUAUCCAUAGGAAGCAAUAGCCAUCAGUUCUGAAUUAGAUGUUGGAAAAGGUACUAAUGGCCAACGCCAAGUCGCCAACCACUACUUAUCUUUCUAAUUAUCGUUAACUGAUCGGCAAGUGCUUGAUUCUUGUUAGUUUGCUUGUCCAAUUGCUCUUGGACCCCCCUGAUUACAACGCCAUGCACUAUUCCAUUUAGAAUAUUUACGUCAUUUUCAUGCAGGCAACUUGUAGGGAAAAAUGCUUUAUGUGUCAAAUCCACUUAGCCUGCAAUUAUGUUCUAAGAGAUAGAAAGAGUAUCUUGAAAAGUAAGGAAAAAGACACGAAAACGAAAAAGUGUCUGGAAAUUAAUUGGUCAUUUUUUUCCAAAAUUUCAUGGCUGUGUGGUUGCUCCCAAUAAGAAAGGGCACCUGACUACGACAAAAUAAGAGUAACUUCCGCUUGAAAAUUAAUCUCAGGAAAAGAUAUAUGUAUGUUAUACGUAGCUUGAAGCCCACGAAGUCUACUGCAAAAACUUGGAAAUUCUAUGCAAGUGAUGCUGUUCAGACUCGUCGACAAAACAGUAGAAGCUAAAGACUCUUGACUGCGACUAUUCAACAUAAAAUGUGAUUGAGAAGGAUACACACUGGUAUAAGACUUGGUCAGUCUUGUAUUUAAUUUUAUUAGAAUUCAUGGAAAAUAAGUCUUUUCAUGAUUAAUAGACCAGAGAGCAAGUGUCCUUUUCAGGAAUAAAGCCCUUCACACUUGGGUCAUAAUUUGCUUGGAGAACUUGGAAGUCUUGGCAAAUAAUUACGCUUAAAAGCUUGACAACUUUACAAGAAAGACUUAUCAGGAUAUCAUUUUUCCUCUAAAUUUUUAGGGUACAAAAAGGGAUAAAAAGUUGGCUAACUCAUGCCAAGGAAAUUUGGAGUUUAUGUUGGAUGGUAGUUGACUCAAGGAAACUUAUGGGAUUGAAGCAAACAUAAUACAAUUCUCGUACAAUUCUCGUACCCACACGGCAACCUAUUUGGGUAUCUUGGGGUUUUAGAAGUACAAUUCUCGUACUUGGUUUAGUUGAGUGUAGAUAGAGCACUACCACCUAAGGGGCUUUGGUGGAAAAGUCCCACCUUUCCAAAAAGGCAUAUUAAGUCACCCCUUUUUCCUUUUAGCUUGUGAUUCUGUUUACCCUUGUACUUCCCUCCUCUCCCCUCUUCUUCCCAUUUUUUUAUCUUUAUUUUUUCCAAAUCUGCCUAACUCCAACCUACCAACUUCAAAUCUCUCCUUUUUCGAAUUAAGGGUAGUCACCAGAACAUUCAAUCAUUUAUUUCUCCAAGUUUUAGGUUUGGUUCAACCCCUGAAUGAAGGUAUUGCUUCAAUCUCUACUCCCAAAUCAAUCCACUUCUAGGCCAGCUAGCUAGAUACCAUUAUUUGGAUGCUGAGAAGAAAUAACAAGAAAAUGAAAGAAUUUUGGCUUACUUGAUCUUAUUUUUCUUUUCUUUUUAAUUUUCUGUUGUGAUGUUUUUGUUUGUAAUCAUGUGCCUAGAUUUUUUUAGGUCAAGAAAGUGAGAAAAAGAAUAUGGAAAUGAAAAUAUAAUUCCUUUUGUUUUUCUUGAAACAAAAGAGGGAUUUGGAUUUUAGUAAGUACUUUAUAACUUGGGUUUUGGAAUUCUGCUUUUAUUCUUUGAUCAUUCUGGACAUGUAAGUCUAAUCUGAUAAUUUUAUUUAUCACUUUUUAUAAUCUUAUUAUAAUUUAAUAUCAAGUCGUCAAAUUAUGAAGUUUUGAGUAGUCUGUCUUACAUGAUGUUAAGAGCAUUGUGUGAUUGCAUUUUUUUUUCCUAUAGUAAAGUUCAAUUUUUGUAAUCAUUGAAUUUGUGAGAGUUUGGUUUAGAAGUUGAUAGUGCUUGUCGGUCCAAUGAGGGUAGGCAAUUAACUUAGAAAUUCCGAAUUUUUCAUUCACUUUUAUUAAUGAUUUGAUCUCAUUCACCUUGCAUAAUGAUGUAUUAUACAAGUAAAAUAUCUUCUAAAACUAUUGUUAUGCAUGCUUUAAUUAAAGAUAAAUGUCAUUAGUAUUAUUUUCCAUUGUCCAAUUUUGUGGUUAAAAAUGAGAUUGAUUUUAUUUUUUUAUUUUUUCUAAGUAAAUCAUAUCUAAUUCUAUAGGUCCAGUAAUUUGUUUUUGUAAUUGAAAAAUGCUAAGAACACAAAUAGAUGUUGAAUAUAUCAGGGAUGGAGUCUUGGUUGAACCUAUUGAUGUGUUUCUUAGGAUAAUAUUUGAACAAUUAUAGAAAUGAUAUACGUGUCAAUAGAAAACAUUUUCAAUUAAUCCUAAAUUAUAGAUAUCUAAUGUGAAGGAGAAGUAACUACGUUCCAACUUAGUCCAAUUAUGAAUGAUAAUGGUAUAACUUAGAUGUUAGAAUACCAAAGAAAUUUGGAAUGGAUAAAGUUGAAUUAUUUGUUAGAUAAAGGUUUAGAAUUUAGGAUAAGAUAUUCAAAAAUUUUGGUUUCUUCUUUGACUAAAACAUAGGUUUAUAGAUGACUCAGUCAUAUUUAAUUAAUGCAUUUAUUUAUGUUAGUGGCCUUGGUUGUUGAUAUAUUGAUACUACAAAUUCAUAACUUGAUUAAUCAAGUUUCUUGUAUUUAGGAGAAUAUUCAUGUUUUAGUGGAGACAUAUAAAAUUUUCUAAUUUCUAUUGUUAAAUUUAGUUGUUUAAUUCACUAAUUUUUUUGUUGAUAAUUGGACUAUGACAUUACAAUUUUCCUUUCCCCAACCAUACCAUUUUCCUUUCCCUUGCUUGAGUUAUCUACAUCAUUAUACAUACCUUUACUUGAGGUAUCCAUACUAGCCUCUUCCAUCCCCCUCCUACCACUAUUUGAGACUUUCCACACCAUUUACCCUUCCCCCCAUUUAAGCCAUUUGUAUCAUUAAACCCACCCCCAACUAAGUCAUUCAUACCAAUCCUUUCCUCUUCCCCUUCCCCCUCCCCAAGACUUCCACACUAUUUACCUUCCCCUACUUGAGCCAUAUUCUUCAUUGAACCCAUCUCCACCUAAGUGUCACGGACUUGGUAUUUUCCUAAGCUCAUGCAGCACUUAGAUAAGUCAAAACCCUUAAUCUUGCUAAGUUAGCCUUACUCCCGAUGCUUGGCUUGCUAGGCUAAAACGCACACAACUUGGAAGCUAGUAGGCAAUAGGAAGCUUUAUUACUCUCAAAUGAUGCUUUACAAAUGUUUUGGAACUCACUUGCUUGGUUAGGAAGUGAUUUUAGGUGGUUUUGGGCGGUGUCUUAGCCAAAUGAGGCCCUCACCUAUUUAUAGGCAUCAAUGAAAUUCUCUGGAACCCACAAAGGCUCCCUACUAUCCUAGAAUUAUCUAGAAGACUUUAUGCAAAAACUAUGUACAAGUAUUCUUUGAAAGUUUCUAGAACAUCUCAUAGGUUUCCCUUGUUUUCCACCCUUGAUGUAGAGAAGUGUUGGGUUUCCUUGUAUGUGAGGGAGUGGCCCCAUAUGCUUGGGGCCCAAGUCAGUUACAUUUAAAAAAAAAAAGUAAAUCGGGAAAAGAAAAACAGAGAGAAGAGAAGAGAGAGAGAGAAAAAAAAAACAUAUUUGCCCAUAUUUCAUCAACAAGUUGAUCUCGUUUCAUCUGUGGUCCGAUCGAGUUGAAAUUUGGAUGAGAGGUUUGAAACUCAAUUAACUACAAUCUGAACGGUGGAAAUUAGAUUUUGAUCUUGGGAACUGGUGUUACUGCCCAUGAACAAUAACGGCGUUUUUUAGGGUAUACUUUCUCCAAUUUUUCUUUAUUUCUUUUGCCAAAAGAAAUUGUAUAAUCCAAGGCUAUAUGUGCUCUUGAUGUAUUUGGCAGCAUCAAAUUAUUCUAGAGAAGACAGGUGUAACCCAUUAUUAUUGAUAGUGGAAGUUUGAACUGGACUAGGUCUCAUGGUUUUUCCCUUUGUAUUGGGGGGUUUUCCACGUAAAAAUUUUAGUGUCUGAUUUAUUUUUCUAUUGCAUGAGUUUAUUUAUUUAUUGUUGCUAGUUGCUAUUACCUAUUUAAUUUUGCACAAAGAAAUGGUAGAAAAAUUCUAGGGUUUGUUGGAAUAUUGUGAAUUCACCCUAACAAGUGGUAUCAGAACCAAGUUGAUUAGCAGUGGGAUCUCUUGUGUGAAUUAAAUGGAGAAGACUGACAAUGGAAUGAUUAAACUCGCAGCUUUCAAUUAUUCAAUUUGGAAUGCUAGGAUGGAGGAUAUUCUAUAUUACAAAGAAUUAUUUGAGCCCAUUGAAUGCAAGGGUUAUAAGUCAAUUACUACAACUGAGGAUGAGUGGAAGAAAUUAAAUAAGAAAACCAUUGGACAGAUUAGGUAGUGGGUUGAUCAGAGUGUCUUCCAUCAUGUAGCCAAGAAAGUUGGUGCAUAUAGCCUUUGGUAGAAAUUAGAGAGUCUUUAUGAGAGAAAUGCUGCACAGAACAAAGCCUUUAUGAUAAGAAGACUUGUGAAUUUAAAGUACAAAUAUGGUAAUAGUGUUGCAGAGCAUCUCAAUAAUUUUCCGGGACUGUUAAAUGAGUUGUCUACCAUGAAGCUUGAGCUAGAUGAUGAGGUACAAACUUUACUUUUAUUGAGUUCUUUACCAGACAGUUGGGAAACUUUGGUGGUAUCCUUGAGUAAUUCAGCCCCAAAUGGUGUGAUAAUUGUCAACAUGGUAAAAGACAACAUGUUUAAUGAAGAUUCUAGAAGAAAAGGGUUAGGUAUUUCCUCUAAUACAGAAGCACUUGUUACAAAGAGGCGGAGGAGAAGUAAAAGCAUAAAACCUUCCAAUGAUUAUAACCAUGACAAGUCAAAAGGAAAGUUAAAGUCCAGAAAAGAGAUAAAGUGUUUUUAUUGUGGCAAGUCAGGGCACAUUAAGAGAGAAUGCAAAAAAUUUAGAAGAGAACAAUUUAAAGGAAAAUGUGAAGAACAGAAAGAUGACAAAGACAUUGCAACAGUUGCAUUUGAUGGUGAUACGAUCAUUGUUUGUGAUGAUUUGUGUGUAAACCUGGCAUGCCAGGAUUCCACUUGGGUGGUUGAUACAACAACGUUGUUUCAUAUCACUACACGUAGAGAUUUCUUCUCUUCCUACACCAAUGGCAGUUUUGGUUGGGUUAUGAUGGAAAAUGAAGCAAAAUGUGAAAUUGUUGGCAUGAGAGAUGUAGAGCUAGAAACUAGCAUUAGGUGUAAAUUGGUUCUGAAAGAUGUUAGACAUGUUCCUGAAAUGCGCUUUAGUUUGAUCUCUGUUGGGAAGCUUGAUGAUGAGGGCUACCAUAGUCACCUUGGAGAUGGUAAAUGGAAGCUUACUAAGGGUUCUCUUGUUUUAGCUAGGGAGAAGAAAAACAAUACUCUCUACAAGACAGAAACGAGACUAGUCAAGGGAGAGGGGAACAUUAUUGAGAAUGAAGCAUCUACUGAGUUAUGGCAUAAGCGGCUUGGUCACAUAAGUGAAAAGGGACUUCAGGUUCUUUUCAGAAAGAAGUUUCUACUAGUUAAAGGUACGUCACUAUUACCUUGUACACAUUGUCUGUUUGGAAAGCAAAAUAGAGUUGCAUUUUGUAGAUUUCCUUCACAUAGAAAACCAGAUAUUCUUGAUUUAGUUCACACUGAUGUAUGUUGUAUGCAAAGUAAUACUCUUGGUGGCACACUAUAUUAUGUGACUUUUAUUGAUGAUCAUUCAAGAAAGGCGUGGGCAUAUGCUUUGAAAUCCAAAGACCAGGUACUUGAUGUAUUCAAAGAUUUUCAUGUGAAGGUUAAGAGACAAACUGGAAAGCAGUUAAAAUCUGUCAGAGCAAACAAUGGUGGUGAAUAUAGGGGGCCAUUUGAGCAAUACUGUAGAAGUCAUGGCAUCAGGCUUAAGAAGAUGGUUCCUAAGACCCCACAGCAAAAUGGUGUAGCUGAGAGAAUGAAUAGAAUCAUCUAUGACAGAACAAGGUGUAUGCUCUCUCAUGAAAAAUUGCCUAAGUCUUUUUGGGGUGAGUUCAUGAGGACAUUCGUUGAUUUGAUUAAUCUAUCUCCAUCAUAUCCUUUAGAGAGUGAUAUUCCAGAGAGGGUUUGGACAGGAAAAUUUAUUUCCUUUGAGCACUAAAGAGUGUUUGGCUGCAGGGCAUUUGUUCAUGUUCCUAAAGACGAGCUGUCCAAGCUUGACAGCAAGACUAAACAAUUUAUCUUCUUGGGUUAUUCAAAUGAAGAGUUUGGGUACAGGUUAUGGGAUUCAGCUACCAAAAAGAUUAUAAGAAGCGGAGAUGUUGUCUUCUUCGAAGAUCAAACCAUUGAAGACUUGGAUCAAGUUAAGAAGCCAAAGCCUUUUAGUAAAGAACAUAUUGAUUUGGGUCUAGUCUCUCCUAACUCUAUGGGACAUAAUGAACACAUGGAAGUUGUGCAAAAAGAACAAGUUGAUACAGUUGACAGAAAUGAUGAGUCGGCAGUUGACGAUGUAGAAGAAAAUCCUACAGUUGAGAAUGAUGGCUUAGAACAACAACAAGAACAAGCUAUUUCAAAGUUGCCUACUAAAACACAGUUAAGAAGAUCUACUAGAGAGCGUCAACCUUCCAAAAGGUAUACUAGUGAUGAGUAAUUGUUGCUUUCUGAUGGGGAGGAGUCAAAAAAUUAUCAAGAGGUUUUGCUGCAUGAUGAGAAAAAAAAGUGGUUGAGAGUUAUGCAUGAAGAGAUGAAAUCCUUGUAUAAGAACAACACUUACGAAUUGAUGGAGUUGCCUAAGGGUAAGAGAGCAUUGAAGAAUAAAUGGGUACUGAAAAGGGAGCCUGAACCAAACAGAUCAUAACCAAGGUACAGGGCAAGAUUGGUUGUGAAGGGUUUUAGUCAGAAGAAAGGCAUUGAAUUUGAAGAUAUUUUCUCGCCUAUGGUUAAGAUGUCUUCGAUCCGAGUUGUGUUAGGUUUGGCUACCAGUAUGAAUCUAGAGAUUAAACAGCUUAAUGUGAAGACUGUUUUCCUCCAUGGUGACUUAGAUGAGGAAAUAUAUAUGGAGUAACCAAAAGGGUUUACAAUCAAAGGCAAGGAACACUUAGUGUGUCAACUAAAGAAAAACUUGUAUGGUCUCAAGCAGGCACCAAGACAAUGGUACAAGAAGUUUGAUUCCUUCAUGGUUGAGCAUGGGUAUGAUAAAACUGCUUCUAAUCAUUGUAUGUUAUUCUCUGAUGGAGAAUUUAUUAUUCUCUUACUAUAUGUGGAUGACAUGUUGAUUGUUGGUCAUGAUACUGGUAAAAUUGAUAAACUGAAAAUUGAGAUGAGCAAGUCAUUUGAAAUGAAGAACUUGGGGUCUGCAAGUCAUAUUCUUGGUAUAAAGAUUUCUUGAGAUAGGACAAUUGGAAAAUUGUGGCUAUCUCAAGAAAACUAUAUUGAGAAGGUUUUAGACAAGUUCAACAUGGGUAAAGCAAAACCAGUGAAUUCUCCACUUGGAAGUCAUCUAAAAUUAAGUUCCAAACAAAGUCCUUCAAGUGAGAAAGAAAAAGAAGAAAUGCGAAAGGUGCCCUAUGCAUCAGCCGUGGGUAGCUUAAUGUAUGCCAUGGUGUGCAUGAGGCUUGAUAUUGCUCAUGUUGUUGGAGUUGUUAGCAGGUUCCUUUCUAAUCCUGGCAAAAAACAUUGGGCUGCAAUGAAAUGGAUUCUCAGGUAUCUAAGGAGUACUUAUAAGACAUGUUUAUGUUUUGGGACUGAAAAUUUUGUGCUUGUAGAUGCACAGAUGCAGAUAUGGUAGGGGAUGAUGAUUCUAGAAAGUCGACUUCUGGUUAUUUGAUCACUUUUUUAGGGAGAGCAGUGUCAUGGCAAUCAAGGUUGCAAAAAUGUGUUGUUUUAUCGACCAUAGAGGUUGAGUAUAUUGUUAUCAUUGAAGCUAGCAAGGAGUUACUAUAGAUGAAGAAGUUCUUACAAGAAUUGUGUUUAUAGCAAGAAAGGUAUCUACUCUACUGUGAUAGUUAGAGUGCUAUUCAUCUCAAUAAAAAUCCAACUUUUCACUCUAGAUCCAAGCAUAUUGAUGUGAGAUAUCAUUGGAUUCGUGAUGCACUAGAGAUGAAAUUGUUUUGCCUUGAGAAAAUCUGUAUUGAUGAGAAUGGAUCAAAUAUGAUGACAAAACCAAUACCUAUAGAGAAGCUACAAUUCUGUAGAAAGCAAGCGGGCUUGGUAGAGCUCCUCACAUAGUUGGGAGGGGGAGAUUUGUUGGGCUCCCUCGUAUGUGAGGGUGUGGGCCCCAUAUGCUUGGGGCCCAAGUCAGUUACAUUUAUAAAAAAAAAANNNNNNNNNNNNNNNNNNNNNNNNNNNNNNNNNNNNNNNNNNNNNNNNNNNNNNNNNNNNNNNNNNNNNNNNNNNNNNNNNNNNNNNNNNNNNNNNNNNNAAAAAAAAAGUAAUUCGGGAAAAAGAAAAACAAAGAGAAGAGAAGAGAGGAAAAAAAAAAACGUCUGCCCAAAUUUCAUCAACAAGCCAAUCCCACUUCAUCUGUGAUCCGAUCGAGUUGAAAUUUGGAGAAAAUGUUCAAAACUCGAGUAGCUACAAUUUGAACGGUGGAGAUCAAAUUUUGAGCUCGGGAACUGGUGUUACUGCCCAUUAACAGUAACGACAUUUUUUGGGGUAUACUUUCUCCAAUUUUUCUUUGUUUCUUUUGCCAAGGGAAAUUGUAUAAUCCAAGGCUAUAUGUGCUCUUGAUGUAUUUGGCAGCCUCUAGAGAUUAUUCUAGAGAAGACAUGUCACGCCCCAAGACCCACACCAAGGGUGUGACGAUCAUUUCACACCUCAAACCCGAAGGCUUAAAUUGUAACCUGACCCAAACAUUUAUCUUGUAACUAGAAGUUACCCAUUAUCAAAUACCUGUUCAGAGUAGCGGAACAAAAUUUUAAAAUCUUCAAAACUUAACUUUAAAACUAAGCAUCCAUCAACCAAAAUCCAUUAUCCAAAUAGAUUUCAAAUUCAAACAAUUCAAGUGCUAACAAAAAUUUUCAUAAUCUCCAAAUCUCAAUUUCAAACUAUCUUUAAAAAAAUUUUAAAGUUCAAUAUCUAAAUAGCUUCCAAAAUCCAAAUAAUCCAAAUGAACAUAAACUUAUAAGCUAACAAUGUCUAAAAUAACAUCAUAAGCAAAAUCCUAAUGAUGACCAUUCCUCGACCUAGCCAUCACUCAUCGCCCAAACUAAGGGUACCUGAAAAGUAAUAGACAAAUAGGAAUGAGCUCAAAGCCCAAUAAGGAACAUUAAUGCAGUCCAUGGAUCAAAUAUUUCAAGUUCACUUACAAAAUAGGAUAUAUUAUAACUAAUUAUUUUCAUAAUCCUUUGAGUUAGUUUUGCCAAUACAUUCAAAACUUGUAAUUGUAUACUUUCAUUUCUUAUUCAAACAUUUUCAUAUCAAAUUCAGUCAAAACAUUCAAAUCAUUUAUUUACUCUAAUCAUCAAACAUUAAAUGGUGCCCAAUUAGGUAGAACUUUUCAAAUAGGUGGCUAGCCUCAAAUUGUUCCUUUAAGGUGGACGAAACCAAACACUACUAGUACUAGUAACCUCUAACCAAACCCCUAGAGGCUGAAGUCCAAAUCAAUUACAUUCCCCACCAAGAAAUGUAAAGGUCAACUAUAAUAUCUCGUUGACAAGGGUCAAAAAGUCAUAAGUCAACUAUUAUAUCUCGUUGACAAAAGUCAAACACUUAUUUCAAUUAUUCAAAUUUGCAAAACAUAAUAUCUCUAAAUUUCUCUGUUGUAAACAAAAUAUAAGAUUCAAACAUACUUUUCAUGCAAAACAUAUUUGAUCCAUGUAUAAAAAGAAUAAUAACUCAAAACGUUUCCAAAUGAUGUAUAUAAAAAUUUGUUUCUAAAAAAAAAUAACUGCAUUAAUUUCUCUUACCUCAAAAGAAGUCCUCAAAAACUUGGGAGAAAAAUAAUUCUGGAAAACCAACUUUUCACCUAACAAAGUAUAAGAAAAAUAACCAUUACUAUUUAUCUAAAAUUAUAGGUUUGACAAUCCUAAAAUUUUAGAUAUUCAAAAUAAUGUUUUUAAUUAUGAAAGAUAAUUUAAUAUAUUCCUAUUUUAGAAUAUUAAUAAAUUUCUAAUUCAUAUAAAACUUAAAUUUUAUUUUCAAUUUAUUUCUUAGGACACAACAUAAUUUAAUUAAACUACAAUUUAUUCUAUUAAUUAAAUUUUACGCUACUUAUUAACUUACACUCAUCAUUAGUAUAAUAAUAUUGAUAACUUCUAUUCUCUCACUUUCAAUUUUUUUUUUUUUCCACUAAACAUAAAUUGUAUCCCAAUAAUUCUCCAUAUUUUCUAACAUAAUAAUACAUGUAUAAAUUAACUACCAACACACUCCCCUACACAUCUCCCUUCUUAUUAAUAAUAAUAAUAUUAUUUUUUUCACCACUCUUCAUUUUCCACAAGCACGCAUUCUUCUCCUUUUUUUUUUUAUUCGUUUGUUUUUUUUUUUUUAAUCUAUAGGAGUUAUGCACACAUAGAGAUCACACCCUUUUUUUUUAUAAUAAUUUCCAAUCCCUUAACCCACAUAUAAAAAAAUAUAAUUAUUUACUCAUUUAAUUUUUUUUUUCAUUGAUUAGAUCUAAUCAUCUAAGAAAAUUUUGAAUUUCCCCAUUAUCACCAAUGGAACAACCUAUAUUCAUAAUUUCAAUAUUUUGACCUAAAAAAUUUAAAUGGAUUAACCCUAGCCUAUGUUGAAAUCUUCCAGAGAAUCAUUUUUUUUUUCAAAAACUUAAGAUUUCUCAAUUUCUAACAACAAAACCACCAAUAAUCCUAAAUUUCCAAUAUUUUGAUAUUAAAACGAAUUAAAAAAAUAAACUAACCCUAAUCUAAAUUAUUAUUUUUUUCAAAGAAUAACUAGCGUGUUCAGAACUAACUAACGAAUAUAAUAUAUUAAUUUAGGGUUAGAAUCUUACUUGGAAAGACCUGAACUUUAACUCUGAACCUCUAACCUUUGAGCCCUAUGAUCUCCAAUUCCCUAAUUCUGGUUGAUAGGGUUUUCUGAAUGAAGAAGACAAAAGGAAAAAAAUUCAAUUUACCUAGAAUUUUUUUUUUAAUUAUGAAAGGACUUUUUCACCCUUAAUGAAUUUAAUGAAUUACUUAAUUACUUUAUAAAUUACUAUUUUACCUCUAGAUUAAAUUUUGGGGUGUUACAAGACAGGUGUAACCUAAUAUUGUUGAUAGUGGAAUUUUGAACUGGACUAGGUCCCAUGGUUUUUCCCUUCGCAUUGGGGGGGUUUUUUACGUAAAAAUUCUGGUGUCUAAUUUAUUUUUCUAUUGCAUGAGUUUAUUUAUUUAUUACUGCUAGUUGCUAUUACCUAUUUAAUUUUACACAAAGAAAUGGUAGAAAAAUUCUGAGGUUUGUUGGAAUAUUGUGAAUUCCCCCUAACAAGAAGUGUGAGUGUCUCUAGCCAUUUUUAAAACCUUCCACACUCUUCCUACCAAUGGCUAAGUGUAGGUGGUUUUAGGAGUCUUCAAAAGCUUCCUACCCUCUAUAUAAGCCCAUGAGAAGGCUCAUUUGAAUAGGUCGUGACAUAAGGCAUACAUACUAGCCCUCCCACUUGACACUUCCAUACCAUCUAUCAUCAUCCCACUUGAGCCAUCUAUAUCAUUUAAUGCACCCCUACAUGAGGCUUCUAUGCUAGGUCAUUACUUCCACCUAAGACCUCCACACGAUAUGUCAUCUCCAACUUAAGCCAUAAUAUACAUCAUUAGAUCCACCCUUACUUGAGACUUUCGUACCAUCCCUUUUACUUGUACUUGAGACCACUAUAUGACUUACCAUCUCAACAUCCACUAUACCUAUUAAGAUAGAUAUCACUGUCCCAAAUACCAUGGUAGCAAAGGUCAUAACACCUUUACCUUUACUUGAUGGGAAAUCUCAUGCUACACAACUUGAUGUACACAUACCUAGGAGACAUUGCGCACCACGUAUAUGUCAAGUUCUAUCUUUGCUAAUUCUAUCUUUGUCGAACAACAUAGGUAAAUCCUAUAUCAUAAUAUACAUAGUUAGAGACCUUUCAAAUUGAUAGAUGGAUCCAACAUAUAGAAUCAUGUACUAUAAAUAUUCCGAGAGAAAGAGAAAAAUUCUAUCAUAAGGCACACAUCAAGGAUUUCUGCAUUUUUUUUUUAUCUUACUACACAAUAUUCAUCUAUUUUUAGAAAAAACUAUUACAUAUUUAAAUGAAAAUAUAGAAAUUUUAAACUUACAUACCAUGGAUAUCAUAUGCAAUGAAUGAUUAAAAAAAAACCUAGUUUAACUACAUAAUACAACAUAGCUAAUUCACACAUUCAUUAAAUAUUAAAUAAUCAAAGUGGUAAUAAGAAGUAUACAAAUUGUUAAUCUCAAUGUCCUCUAUAUUUUCUUUGGAAAUACAACUGUAACGACCCGCUUCCAACCAUGUAUAUAUUGUCCGCUUUCGCUUUGAGCCCAAGAAGGCCCUCACGGCUUUAAAACACAUCUACUUUGUUAAGAGAAACAUUUACAUAUAUAACGUCAGGAACAUUCUCCCCUAUCCGAUGUGGGACAUUCUCCCCUAUCCGAUGUGGGACAUUCUCCCCUAUCCGAUGUGGGACAUCACAAACACCCCCCCCAUGCAGACACAACGUCCUCGUUGUGUCCCAUGGGAUUGCGGGUCAAACAGACAAACACCAGGCCAAACAAACCCCCACAUCGGGGUUGGGGAUCGGCUCUAAUACCAUUCUGUCAUGACCCACUUCUAACUAUGUAGAUAUUGUCCGCUUUGGGCCCAAAAAGGCCCUCACAGCUUUAAAACGCAUCUAUUUGGUUAAGAGGAGCCUCUACAUAUAUAGCACUAGGAACAUUCUCUCCUAUCCGAUGUGGAACAUCACAACAACUCAUAAGGUAGUGACCUUUUUGAAUAAGCAUUCAAUUUUCAUCUUUUCAUAUUUGCAAAAUUGUUGUUAUCCAUUUUUGAAGGUUUUGUUUGAUUUGAUUUUAAUAUGAUUUAAAAUGUGUUUAACAGUAAUUUUUCGAAGUGUUUUCAAUAUUUCUAAUACUUGAAAGACAAAAAUUUUCAAAUAUUAGAAAUAUUUCUUAGAAUUACUUGUCAAUUUAGAAUUCUAAUUUUACUAUAUUAAAUAAAUAAAAUAAAAUAUUUUAUUUAAAAAAAUUAAUUUUAAAAUAAAUCAAUUAAAAAUAAAUUUUGAUUUAAUAUAAUUCCUAGAUAUCAACUAAAAUAGGAUUUUUUUUUUUUAGAAUUUUAAUCAAAUAACUAAAAAUUUUAAAAAUUUUGAUUUAAUAGAAAACAUAUUUUAGUAUAAAAUUAUUUAAUAGUAAAUCUUUAUUUUGUAAAAGGAUAAAUAAUAGAGCUUCUAGCUAUGAGAAUUUAUUUAUUUUUUAAAAUUAUCUUUGACUAUAAGAAAUUACAAUUCAAAUAUAAUUUGUACCAUAAUAAAAAUAAUAGCAAAUUAUUAAAAUAUUGUAAUAAGACCAUAUAUAUAUAGAAAUUUUAUGUUAUAUCAAAACUUUUUUUUUUAAAACUAAAUUGUAUUUAUAAUAUUCCAAGGGUAUUAUAGCCUAGUAAAUUGUACAAUUAAUUCCAUCAUCAAUAAAUUAAAACGUGACAUGGGUAAUUGUGAUGAUCCUAAUUUUAUAUCAAAAACUAAAAGUGCACUUGAUAGUGAUUUUAGAAAGUAUUUAUAAAGUUUUUAAUAUUUAAAAUUUUUUAAGUUUAUUUGGUAAUUGAUUUCAAUAAUAGUUUUCUGUUAUUCAGAAAAAUAUAUUUGUCAACCAAAAAUUGUUCUUGAUAAUAGAAAAUAGGGAGAAUUACCCAAAAUGGUGGGUUGGGCAAAACAAUUACUAGAAAAGGUGUAUCUUUUAAUAAUUCUUGGGGAGGACUUUAAUAGGCUUAAUAUACCAAAACUGCCCUUUAACUAAAACUUUUAAAAUUUAAAGCAUUUAAAGCACUUCACUUGAUUUGUCAAUACAUUUAUGGUACACGGGUCCCACAUUUAUUGUAAUUAUUGAUAUUUAAAUUUUAAAUCAAAAUUUUGGGUUUAACCUUUACAAUUAUAUAUAAUUUGUUAUUUAAAUUUACUAUUUAAAACAAAAAUACUUUUAAAAAAUAUUUUCAAAAUAUCAUUUAUUGUUUUUUUACCUUUUUUAUUUUUAUUCUAAUUUUUAAUUUUAUGAAGAAAAAAAUAAGUUUUAUAAUUAUAUAAUAAAAAUGAUGAUUUUUUCAUAUAUAUAUAUAUAUAUAUAUAUAUUAUAAUUUUAAAUUGAUAAAUUAUGCUUUUGUAUUAAAUUUAAGGAAGAUAAAAUGUUUAAUUUUUCAUUCAGAUUCUCUAAAAAGAAUAAGAAAAUGAUAGAGAAUGUUUAAUUAUUUUUUAUUUUUAUAAUAAAAUAAUUAAAAAAAAUUUAUAUGAUUUUUUUUUCCUUUGCAUAGUGUUUUUUUUUUUUCAUAUAAAUUUUUUUUUUCAAUGCAUUGAAUGGAUGAUGUUAAUAUAUUUGAUAUGCUGAAUAUUAAUAAGGUAUAAAAGGUGAUUCUCAAGAUUAUUACUUUUAUUAUAAAAUACAGGCACAACAAAAAUAUGUUAUAAUUACAAUAUAAAUACACUUACAUUACAAUACAUUACAAUAAAACCUAAUUAAGAAAUUUAUGAAAUUUUUUAUAAAAAUGGUAAUUUUGUAUAAUCAUACUAUAUUUCACAACAUACUUAUAUCAUAAAUAAUUUUGAAAUAAAAUGAAAUACAAAUUUGAAUUCACGUAGUUUAUAUAUAUAUAUAUAUAUAUAUAUAUAUAUAUAUAUAUAUAUAUAUAUAUAUAUACAAAAAUUAUUAAAUAAUUUUAAAACACUAAAUAAAUAUUGUUAAUAUAUUAAUACGAUGUGUUAAUACCAAUAGGGUAUGAAUAAACAUUUUUAGAAUUAUUACUUUUAUAAUGAAAUAUAGGUACGAUAUAAAUGCAUUAUACUUACAAUAUAAAUACACUAUUAUUAUAAUAUAUUACAACAUAAUUUAAUUUAUUUUUAUUUAAUUUUUUCACAUGCUAUAUUAUCCAAUGAAUAAUUGGGAGUUAUUCCAUUUAAUAGGUGUGUGUUAGUCAAUUGGAUAUUUAUAUAUUAUUCAAUUGAUGAGUGGUCGUAAAAAAUAAUUAUUCAUUAUAUUAUGAUAACAAAGUUUUUAAUUGUAUGUUUUAUAUAUAAAACGAUAUAAUAACUUUAGGAUAUAGUUUUUAUUUAUGAGAUAUUAAAAAUUAUUUUUUUUUACAAGGUUCUUUAAGAAAUCUCAAUUUUUUUGAAAAAAAAAUAGCAAAUUUUUAAAUAGACAAUUGUUCAAAAGUGACAACAAUUUUUUCAAGUUCAGAAAUGUACCGUUGAUGGCCUAUCAACUUGUACUUAUCAUCAUAUAUGGGCCCCACGUCAUUUAUUAACUUGUACUUAUCAUGAGCCCCACAUCAUUGACAAUCUCAAUUUAUUUAUAAAUAAUAUAGAAAACAUAUUCAAAAGUAAAAUUGUCUUCUAAAAGAGUGAACCUUCAUAGUCAUUAUUUUUUCCGGCCCACCCUUUUGGGUAAUUCUCCCUAGAAAAUAUAGUAUUUUCAUAUAACAGUUUUAGUUUUUUUAUUUAUUAGUUUCACUUGUUUUCUAAUAAUUAUUUUAAAAAGCGAUUAUAGAAACAUGUAAAAUGAUUUAAAAUAAGAUAAUAAAUAUAAAAAUUAUUUUUAAAACAUAUUUAAAAAUAUUAAAAAUGAGUAAAAAAUAUAUAGGUUUUCAAACAUAUUUUUGUUUUAUAAAAUAUUAAAAAAUAUUUUUUAAAAAGGUUGUUAAAAACAAUUUUUUAUAAUUGUUUUCCAAAAUAAUUACUACACUCAAACUUUAUUUUUCAAGUACGAGAUAAAUUAAAAAUAUUUCCUAAAAUUAACCUCGCGUAAAUGCCAAUAAAUUUCUUUCAAAUUUAAUUUUGACAUUUUCCAAAAUUAAUUUCGAAUGAGCUUGUUGAAGAAGCAACUUCCACUAGGGGGCAUUUUGGUGUGGACCAGUCAGACAAAUCCUAUUUGGAAUUCUUCUUAGAGAAGCCAAAAAGUGAAUAGUCGCGGGAAAGCUCUUCUUCUCUCUCUAAUUCGAAAGCAACAAGUAUCUGAAGAUGGAUUUGGACCCAGAUGAUAUUUUCAAGGACGACGAAGACGACCCAGAUAAUGACCUGGUUGGUUUUUUUGUUCAUCUGUCCCCAACAAGCUUUUUAACCUUACAACUUCCAGAUGCAUUUCAAUUUUUUGUAUGGGACUUUGGGUGAGUGUCUGAAUCUUGAAUUCUUGUUUAGGAAAAAGCAUCGACCAAAGAGUUUGUGGUUUAUCUUGUGGAUGCUUCGCCCAAAAUGUUCAGCACCACUUUUCAAGGGGUAAGUUUCUUUUAGCUGCAUUCAUUUGGAUUUUGCAGUGUACUUUGUUUGUUUACCUGGAAAAUGUUUCAAGGCAGUGUUUUAGAUCAGAGUUUGGGACUGGUCAGAUUUAUUGAUAAAUGAAAGGAAAAAAAAAAAGAAAGAAGAGUGAGAGAAGGUGUGGGAGGGAAAAUGCUUGAAGGGUUUAUAAGCGAACCAAAAAUAUGUAUCGAACUAACAUGCAUUACAUAAUCAUGAAACAUCUUAAUGUUGCAGGGGUUCUAUUUGAGGAUUGUGAGGUGUUUACUGUUAGCUUGUGCAUGUUAUGUAGUUGGUGAAGUGUCACUUAGUCACUUCUAGGAGAAAUGGAUUGUGCAUGUUACAUAUUUGAUGCAAUGCCUCUUAGUCCUUUCUAGGAAAGCCUAUUAUUUGUUGCAAAAUGAUACUUGUUUAAUUUUCUUUCUUCUCUAUCAAACAACUUUCUACCCCAUGCAAAAUAGUUCAAGCAAGCUCCUAGGUCAAUGCAUGCAAAUAGCAUAUGAAAUCUGAGGAUGAUUGAAUCUGUUUGAUCUAUCUAUUUGAUAUAAUGUUAUUCAGUCUAAUUUGUCAUCUGGUUGUUGCACUGGAGCUUCUGUACUAAUGGAAGACAUGCUACAUCACUGUGCAUAAAAAGGUUGACUGUUAGUUGCUUUGAUUUGCUUGCCAUUUGAUUAAUUGGUCAAAAUGCUUUGGCUUAAUAAGAAAAACAGAAGAAGAUACUCUCCUGGUUGGCUUUUUAGUUGAAUAAAUCCAUAUCAAUGUGCUCCUUUAGGGAGAAGUAUUCAGAUGUUUUAUAACUUCAUGGACGAAAUGUGAAUGACGCAUCUUUAUUUUUCAAUAUUUUCAGGAAGAUCAAAAGGAUGAAACUCCUUUUCAUGCUGCCGUUAGCUGUAUUUCCCAGUCACUGAAGACUCAAAUCAUCAAUAACUCUAAUGAUGAAGUAGCAAUAUGCUUCUUCAACACUGUAAGCUGGUGACCUUGUGAUGAAUUGAAAUGUUUAUUUGCCUGGAUUCAUUCAACAAGAUGCUUUACUGAUGUCUUUUCAAAAUAUGGUUAUCUAGCUUUUCCUUUUCUUCCUUUUGGUUUUUGUUUAAAUGACUUGUGCUUCCUUUCUUGAAUCCUACAAUGUUGUGUUAAGUGAUAAUUUAUGUGAAGUCUCUAAAUUUGCAAUUUCAAUGGCUGAAGCACAAGCUAUACCUUGCUUGCUUUUUCCAUUUCAUUCUUCACUUACUUGAAAGCAUUCAGGGAUCUCAAUCCAUGAAUUAUGUUCACUUAGAUAUGUCUCUUCUAGUUUGAUAGUCCAUUCAUCAUCUAAUUCCAUAUGCAAGAGCUAAAAUGAAUUCUAACUCUCCCUCUUUAUUUGCAUUGGCUGAAAGUUGAUAUUACGCUUCACAAAGACUAACAGCUUUACUAUUGUUGCUCUAAGAGGUUUCUUUUUCUGGAAUGCAAAUGAUCUAAAGUAAUCUGAUUUCAUCACAUCUCAUGGUGCUACAGAAAAGACAGAGUGCCAGUAUAGUUAGCCUUGGAAACCCCAUUCAUAAACUACCAUAAUUUUCUGUCCACAAUGCUAAAGAACACAUUGAUAGUUAAGUCCAAAGCAUGUAAUAAGAUUAAAGUUAUAGUACACAAUUCAUGAAUUGACAGUUUGUGAGAUAUACUGGGUUUCUUCUUACUUGUUGUGACAGUAAUCAUAUUAAUACCAAGCAUGCCUUUGGCUGUAUGAAACCUGUCUGCUUAGGCAUUUGUCUUAAGCCUCUUUCAAUAGAUGGUCAAAUCCUUAUAAUAGCCUUGUACAAUCCUAAUUCAAUUUCAGUAUCUGGGUUGGUGUUGGGAUCAUAGUAAAAACAAAGAGGAAAAAAGCAAACUAAAUCAAUUUUGAGCUUCAAAACUCAAAUUGGUAUAAAAUUAAAGUUAUGAGAAGGAAUAAACUUCAGUAUGUUAUGUGCCGGAGGCCAGGCAGUUUAGUGAUCAUCCCAUGAAGAUGCUAGUCAUGGGCAAGAUUCUAUAGAUGAGGAAGGGGACUUGCAAGGUGUUUUAUGUUUCCAUUAAUAUGUNNNNNNNNNNNNNNNNNNNNNNNNNNNNNNNNNNNNNNNNNNNNNNNNNNNNNNNNNNNNNNNNNNNNNNNNNNNNNNNNNNNNNNNNNNNNNNNNNNNNAAGAUUCUAUAUAUCGAGGAAGGGGACUUGCUUGUUGUUUUAUGUUCCAUUAAUAUGUAGCUAGAUGUUGUGUAAAUCCGGCUGGGAUGAUGAUGAAGCUGUGAAGUGGGAGGUUUAGAACAGGAGGAUGUAAUGGAUUGAUCCUUAGUAAGAUUUUGAGAUUUGGUAAUUCUUGGGUUUCUCUUCUAAGCAGGAGAUGAAGUUAUGAGAGCUUCUAAGGCCAUUGGAAAAAAAGAGUCACAAAGAGGGAAUUUUGCAAAAGGGAUGAGGUUUAGCUCUAAGAAAGGAAGGCAAUUGAGAAAGUUAUGUCAUUGUUUAACUAUGAGGGAAGGUAAACUAGGAGUAGUAGGGGUAGAGAGAGAAUUUUAAGGGGGAGGGGGCAUAUGGUCUUAUGGAGCUAUAUGUCACAAGAUGCUUCAAAUGACCCACCCCAUGGGCUUAUAUAGGAGGUGGGAGGCUUCUAGAGACCCUUGGAGGCAUCUACACUUAGCUACAAAUUGGAAGAGUAUGGAAGCUUCUAGAGAGGGCUAGAGAUGUCCACACAUCUCUACACUUGGCUAGGAGAGCAUUGGAAUAGUGUGGGGUGGUUCUAGAAUCUUCCAAAGUCAUCUUGUAGAUACCCUUGUACAUAGACUAGUGUAGGGGCUUCUAGAUUAUUCUUGAGUUGUAAGGAACCCUCCAAGGUUCCAGAGAAUUCCAUUGGUGCCUAUAAAUAGGUGAGACCCUCAUUUGGCCAAGACACCACCCAAAUCACUUCCUAACCAAGCAAGUGAGUUCCCAAAAGCGCUUGUAAAGCUUCCUUUGAGCAAUAAAAGUUUCCAUUUUUCAAGAGUUGCCUACUACGUCUUCUAAAGCUUCCGAGUUGUGAGCAUCUUAGCCUAAUAAGUUAAGCAUUGGGAGUAAGGCCGACUUAGCAAGAUCAAGUGUCUUGACUUGUCUAAGUGUCGCACGAGCUUAGGAAAAGACUAAGUCCGUGACAUAUAUGUCUUAUCUUGGAAUGUUGAAGAGCGAACCAAUGCUUCAGGGAUGGACAGGUCAAGGUGGUUUGCUUUCAGGAGAAUAAAAUGUAAGUACGUGUUUAUAGAGGGUGUGAAUUUGGGAAUCUACCUAUUUUUUUUUUAUUGGGAAUUAUUAGGAACUUGUGUGUCUGUGGAUGGUGUCAUUUUGGCAUGGGAAAAGGGUGAUGGUUGGGUUGGGGAAUAAAGGUGGCUGCCUACUAAGUAUAAUGCAAAUUCAGAGUAGUAGAUGAUGGUUUUGGAGCUGUGUUUAUAAAGGUCAAUUGGUUAGUGGAUGGGAGGGGAAAAGGAGAUUUUUGGGAGGAACCUUGGUGGUUAGUCUAUGAUUCAAUUUCUUUCGUUCUUUCUUUCUAUCUUUUUUUUUUUUUUUUUUUAAAUAUACAUAGUUUGAUUUUGUGGGUGGGGGUUGAGGGAAGGGUAGGAGGAGAUCAUUGAGUAUUGGGAGGGUUAAUAUGGUUCAGUUCCUCUUUGCAAGUCUAAGUUGCAAUAGAAUCUCAGCCAAGAUGGGAAGGAUUUCUUUGGUUUUUCUUAGCAGUAUUUCUUAUGGAAUGAGGAGCACAUAGGUCAACAACCAGGAAAGCUAGUAUGUCUUCUUGGGUGUGCUUCAUUUUUAUUCUUUUCUCUCUACUUAGGUCUUCCUUUUAGGACCCCCUAAAGCUCUAUAGUGUGGGAUUUUUUGUUGGAGAGGAGAAGAGGCUGGCUAUGUGUUAAAGGCAGGAUCUCUUGAAGAGGGAACUUACUUUGAUUGAAAAGUAUGUUUCAUGUCUCUUCUAGGCUUUCAGGACCAUUAAUUUAGAAUAAUUCAAGGAGGCUUUUCUUCUUCUUCUUGGUGGGGUAGGCUGGGAGAUGAAAAGAAGAUGCACCUAAUUUAUUGGAAGAUGACUUGUGAGCCUAUAGAAAAAGGUGUGUUGGGUUGCCAAAGGAUGAAGAAAGUGAAUAGGGUCUUACUAUGCAUAUGGUUGAAGAGAUUUGCUAUGGAAAAGGAUAGUUAAAGGAGAUGGCAUUGAGGAACUAUAGAACGAGUGUGGUGGAUUGUGGUUCAGAAUAGUUAUGGAAUCUUCUGCUGUGGGGAUGUGGAAGGGGACAAGUAAAGGUUGGGUGGAGUUGUUCACACACCAAAAAGUGCAGAAUGGAUGGCAAGUUCAUUUCUGGGAUAAUGAUUGGUGCAAAGAGGAAACCUUGAGAGUGAGGGUGGCAGAUUACUAGGCAUGGGGGGUAAGGUAUGGCCAGUGAAAUUUGACCUUUGUCUCUAUGUUCAAGAUUGAGAAAUAGAGGAAGUGCUCUCUUUUAUGAAAUUUCUGCUAAAUAGCCUGUGCAGCUUUUGUUCAGUUUGCUUGUGAGACAAGGAUUAUGGUUACUUUUGAAGUUCUUGAAUAUGGAUUUGAGUGAUCAAGCUUUAAAACUAUAUUCUAUUUGUUAUUUGGUUCAAUCCCAAAUAGAACCAAUCCUUACUCUCUGUUUUGUUUGCAGAGGGAAAAGAAGAAUUUGCAGGACUUGAAUGGAGUUUUUGUAUUUAAUGUUGCUGAAAGGGAGUACUUGGACAGGCCUACUGCUAGGCUAAUAAAAGAAUUUGAUCGUAUAGAAGGUAAGCUUGGGUGCUUGGGGUUGUUUUUUUUCUUUUUUUCUUUUUUAGCAAUUUCUGUUUUAUGGUGAUAUUUGCUGAAUCUUUAAUCACAGUAAGCAUUUUUUGUUUAUGCAGGACUCUCCUACUUUUUAAAAUUAUACUAUUUGGUGAAUUUUACAUGCUCAUGUUUUUAAACUCACAUAAAGCUUAAUGUAUUUUUUCCACUCCUGGGGAUAUUAAGUUCCAUUCAAGAUUAACAUUGACCAUUUUACUACUACUCAGUGCUUUGAAAUCAUAAGACAACUUCUAUCUAUUUCUUUAUCAGAUAAGAAAAUAUCUUGAACGAGUUUGUCGACAUUUGUUUGUUUUGUUUCUGUCAAAUCUUCCUUUUAAGAAGAAUUGCUUUAUGGCAUAGUGGUUUCAAAUUUACAAAUGAUAAUGUCAUUCUGACUUCAUAGUUCAUCCUUCUACAGCAGUCAUAGAUAGGGUAAUUGUUGUAACAGUUAUAUCCUAGUGUUAUCUCCAUGAGGGAGUUUAUUUAUGGGAUCAGGCAUGCAUGAAUCUAUGAACUUUAAGCUGGGUUGUAAUUGUUUUUGGAUCAUAGAUGACAUUUAGAGGAUGCAAAUCGAAGUUGCUAACAUUCUGACAAAGCCAAUCAAAGAUUGGUUGUUCAAUAAUGUGUCUGAUCCAAUUCAUUCACAAUAUGCAAACCCUAUUUCUCCCUUUUCAAUAUUCAUCAUUCGACCAACAAUGAAAAUUCAAUCACUUGAGUUUCCAGGUUCAAGUCUCAAUGGGGACAAAAAUUGACCUAUUGGGGAAAAAAAUUCAAUCACCUAAUUUACAUAGGUUAAUACAUAUGCAUGUGUAAUCUUAGCUAAAAAUUGCCUCAAAAUUGAGCCAGAAGAAUAAACUGGAUAGACACACAAAAAAAAAAAUGAAAGAACAUUUUUAAGUAUACAAGUCACUGAAAAAUCAGGACAGAAAAAGUUAGCAAGCGCACAAAUAGCACAUCCAGAAGUGGAGAAUUAAUGAAAAUGGCACCCAAAAAAAAAAAAAUCAUUGUUUUGACAACGAAAGGAAGAACUCCUGUCAAUGAAGGUCAUAAAAAACCUAAGUACAAAGAGAGAACAGCAGUAAGUGGUGGAACUGCCUCCACUGGUGAAUAUAAGAUACACAUGAUUGAUAUCCUAAUGAUACACAAGAGGAAAAAAUCACUACUCUACUGUGCAAACCCUUGGGAUUGGUAAAAUGAUACAAACUCUCUCUGGUAUAGAAUUGCUAGUUGUUCAAAAUAUUAUUUUGGUAAACAGGUUGACAUAGGCAUGAAAUCUUUGGAAAACCAAGUAAACUGUAAUUUGAGCAAGGUGGGACUUACAGGGGCAAUUAUGGUCUUAGGAAUCUAUGAAUUAGUAUUAUCAAAGAGUGAAGGAGAAAAAUUAUUGUUUAUUAAUGCCUUAUUUGUGAAGGAUACUUAUUGAAUGAAAUUGUUGCCUCAUAAGUAAACUGUUGCCAUGCAGAAUUGUUCAUGAAAGAAAUUGGGAGUCAGUAUGGUAUCAUGUCUGGAUCUCGCGAAAAUUCUCUUUACAAUGCUCUCUGGGCGGCACAAGCGUUGCUGCGUAAAGGGUGAUGCUACAUUUAUUUUUCUUUCAUUCCCUGCUUGGUUCUUUCUCUUUUCCAUUUUUUCCUUUCUUACUUUAAAAAAAUGACUUCCUCUUGUAUCCUAAGACACAUAUAUAUGGCCUUUUGCAUAAAUUGGCAAUGAAAUAUUUCAGGUCUGCAAAGACAGCUGAUAAGCGAAUACUCUUGUUUACGAAUGAAGACGACCCUUUUGGGAGUAUCACAGGGGCAACAAAAAUGGAUAUGACAAGAACCACGUUGCAACGGGCUAAAGUACUGAUUAAUUUAUGCAUUAGUUGCACAUACUUAAUAAUUCCAUGCCUUCUUGUAUAAGGAAAUUUCAUUUUUUAGAUGGAGCCACUUGUUCAAUUUUUCAGGAUACACAAGAUCUUGGCAUCUCAAUUGAACUCCUCCCCUUGAGUUGCCCUGACGAGGAAUUUAAUGUUUCUGCUUUUUAUGCUGUACGUCCAUCAUGUCUGAAAACCUUUUAUUAUUGAUUAGAUUAAUUUGCACCAGUAAACCACUUUCACAUGUCUGUCUUUUAGGAUUUAAUAGGAUUGGAAGGUGAUGACCUUGCUCUAUUUAUGCCCUCAGUAGGGGACAAGUAAGUGUUUCUUUCUAAAUUUUCUCUUAAGAUAUUUCACUUUGCGACUAAAAGGACCAUUGUUUGCGUUUUAUGUUUUUUUUUAACAGGCAAAUCAGAGUUUAUAUGCAUUGCAAACAUUUGUUCCUUUUGACAAAUUUUUCAUUUUUAUAUCAAUGAAGUAACUUGAUGUGAAAAACCACCUUAUCAGAUUCAGUAUGCUUUGAUGGUUAUGGUUAAGUAUCUUCCAGGCAUGGACCAAUAUUCCCGAUCAUUUUCAGGUUGAAAUUUCAUGUUCAAUGCUAAAUGGGUGUUUGAAUGCUAUAUGUAACAGCCUGAAUUUGGGAAUGCUGUCUUGCCUGCUGGCAUGCAAGAAAAGCUAACAUAUCACUAGGGUAUAGAAGUUCAACCAAGAUGUAAAUAUCUGGCUUUUUACAUGAACUGUAACCUUGAGUUCAUGAGUUAAUGACAACAUCAGCACAGAUAGAAAAUGAAAUUCUUGUCUAUCCUCUACUUGACCUGAAGUUUCCCUAGCAUGCAACUUGGAUUAUGACCUCUGAGUCUUUGACCAGAUUCUAAACUCAAGUGACAGUAGUUUCUGAAAUUAUAAGUUUUCCAAUUUCAGAUUGACAGACAUGAAAAAUCAGCUGAGAAAGCGUAUGUUUAAGAAGCGUGUGGUUAGAAGAAUCACAUUUUCAAUUGUCAAAGGCCUAUCUAUUGAACUGAAUACAUAUGCUUUGAUCCGUCCGACUGUUCCUGGUAUAUCUCACCAUUUGCCAAGUUUCAGUUAUUCACUACAAGCCAUCUUCUUGCAUCUUUUGUAUGUUGUUAAAUAUUUGUUUCCAUGAUUUCUUUUCAUAGGGACAAUUACCUGGCUUGACUCUAUCACCAACCUUCCUUUAAAGGUACCACUGCUUUGUGACAUUAUAUGUCUUCUAUCCUGUGUAUACAUGCAUAUGGUUAAAACUUUUUAUAUGGUAUUAGUACUCAAUAGGGUGUUUGGUUUGCUAAUAUCUAAGCUUGGGAAUGGGAAUGCUAUGGAUGUAGAUCUUCCAGUUCCCUCAUUUGACUAUUAUCAGAAUUUUGAGACCCCCUGCCCAAAGUUCAUGUGCAUUUUAACGUUUGAUUACCCUCUAAAAGUUAGAUUAUUAUAAAUGAGGGUAUUUGAAAUGGACACACUUGCCCUCUUUCUUUUCUUUUUUUAUUUUCCUAAGAAUGAGAAUAAAAAUACCAAAGCAGCUAUAGGUAAGAGAUGUCACACCCAAUCUGGGAGGAUAUGGUAUUCCAGGAAAUUAAAGUUGUCAAGGUUACGUGUUUCCCAGACUGGAUCACUUUAUAUCUAAGAAUGAGAUACUCAUUACCUAGUCAAAAUACACAUCAAACAAACACAGCCUCAGGGUAUUGCAGACUAAUGAUGGCAAUUUAUAAGUUUAUGUAGGUUUGGCAGUGAUAUUCAGUAUUUCGCUUUUAAAGGCCCAUAUUAUCCAUCAGUUUGAUGCUUCUGUAGUUUUGGAAAAAGUGGUUCACGUAGGAAUUAUUUUUUGUUAUAGAAUCACAGUAUACCUUUCCAGCCAAAUGAUUCUCAAAGUGGCUGGCAAAUCAUAGCACCAGAUCAAUUGUCUCUAAGUUUACCCUGGAAAGAAAAAAGUGGCGUUGGAAUAUAUUUUGGAGCUAUCUCAAAAAGGCUAAACUAGAGAGAAUAGCUUUUGACAAAGCUCAGAUGGUUAUUUUUUUCCCAUUUCUAAUAUUUUUUUAAGACCUUGGCAUUGCAUUGCAAUAUUAAUGUAUUAUUUAUAGAUGAAGUUAAUGAUACAUAUUUGCUCUGGUUGAUUCCUACUUAUCAAACUAAUUCUGAAUUGGUGCUUCAUUCAUUGUUCCAGAAAAAUUAUUGUUUUAGAUAGGGUUCGCAUGCUGCAAGAACUAGUUGUAACUUAAACUUCUGCAAUAUUCACUUGAUGCAGACAGAGAGAUCUUUCAUCUGUGCAGAUACUGGGGCUUUGGUUCAACCAACUAAACGUUUUCAUCCUUAUAAAAAGUAAAUUUAUUUUCUUUAUAAUGCUCCUUUUUAGUUCUCUUAAUUGAUUUAAAAUAUUCCCUUUUUUUAAGAAAUCCUUCACCAGUUUGACUUUGCAAUAUUCCCUUUUUAGUUCUUAUAUGUAUAUAGAAAUCUUCAGUAUUUAUAAAUUUAACUAUUGACAUUGUAUUGUUUUUUUUUUUUUUUUUUAAAUUGAGCUUACUCUUUUUCAUUUGCUUUUCAGUAAAAAUGUUAAGUUUACAACAGAAGAGCUAUCAGAAGUGAAAAGAAUUUCAACUGGACAUCUUCGCCUUCUAGGAUUCAAACCUUUGAGUUGCUUAAAAGAUUACCACAACUUGAGGCCAUCAACAUUCGUUUUUCCUACUGACAAGGUUACUCUGACUUGCUUUUGUUUUGCUUCUUGUUUUCAUUCUACUUUUUUUCCCCCUUUCAAGGAUCUAUCACAAUAUUGAGUUGCUAAGGUAUUUGCUGAUGGCUUGAUGUGAUCAUUUAAUUUAGUGACUAAGUGAUAACACUUCUUAUAUUUGUUUUCUCACAAGUUGAUGUGAUACAUAUUAAUCUCUGUCUCUGUCUGUCUGUUUGUCUGUCUAUUUAUGUGUUUAUGUAAUCAAGAUAACAAAAAGGCAUAUGGAUCCCCACCUUUAAACAUGAAAUUCAGCUGCAGUUGCUUAAAUUCAUAUCCUUUGUCAGGCAAGCAUUUGUACAGGUGACUUAUUUUAAGCCUGAUGCUUCAUUGGGAACAGUUCUCGAGUGAAUAAAAUAUUUUGACUUCUGUGAUGCUUCUAUUACUCCAGUGGAUGCAAGUUUGUAACUUUUGUUUCUUUUCAAGAACAUCUCUCUCCAACAACACAUGAAUAAUUUCUCCUUUCACAAUAUUUAACAAGAGAGCAGAUGAGGAUCCAAUUUGCCCCCUGGACAUGAAAAUCAGCAUCCAAGAUCCAUUGAUGACACUGGAAAGUGUCAAGGUAAAUGCUCAGUGUAUUCUAAAGAAGCUAAAGGACUCUGCAGAAAAAGAGCCCAUAGAUUUGAAGUGGAUAAAAAAUAAGAUCUCCCUCUAACAUAAACUAAUCUGGUGUAAUCUUGUCAACCUCACUGAUAUUUUGGGAUGUGCCAUGCUUCUCAUUAUCCAAGAUAUCAAGUUAGUUUUGGCAUGAAGGCUGUCCCCUCCAAAUUAUAUUUACCAUUUUAGUUUUUAUCAAAAGAAAUAAGUGGUUAUGGAUCAGAUGGCUCCAUACAGUCAUAAUCCACAUAACAUCUAUAGAAGAGUGGGGGAAGGUUGAAAAUGGACUGGUGUAAAGUUCUGAGUGGUUACAAGGUAGCAGUGUUUACGCAACAUCUUUUCUUGUUACAUAAAAAAUUUCCCAGGUUGUUUAAUGUUGAUUAUAUGUAGCACUUCUUUGUGUUCCACCACUUGAUGGUGAAAAAUAAUUAUAUCUACCUUUUCCAAAUUUUUCAUACAUUGGCAGCUCAGUAAGUAUUAUUGUACUUAGGACAACACCUUGGCAACCAACAACAGCAACCUCACUGAGAUAGUUUGUCUUACUAUUUUUACAUAUAUUUUAAUAUUUUCCAGAGCUAACUCUUCUUUUGUUUGUUAUUCAAUGCAGGAAGUGGUUGGUAGUACUUGCAUUUUUAUUGCCCUCCAUAGAUCCAUGUUAAGGCUUAAACGGUUGGUAGUCUACAUGUGUAUUCUCAUGUGCUAGUAUAUUACUCAGGCUUAUCCACUGCAUUAACAUUUGUCAUGUUUAUUCCCACGCCUUAUACUUCAGUUGUGGAACAGUUUCAUCAUCAUGAUAACCAUGUGUUGUUCGUUUCAAUUUUCAGGUGUUCUUUGUACAGAGAAUAGUUGUUUUGCACUAUAACUUUUCUACUUAGUUGAUGCCUGGUUAAAAUUCUAAAACACAGUGCCUUUAAUUUUCUUUUUUUUUUCUUUCCAUCAAUUGACCAGAGGGAUGAAACUGAAGAUUAAAAGUGAUAAAAUCCAUGUUUCUGAUCAAAAAAGAAAAAAAGUGAUAAAAUCAAGAGGUGAUGUACUCCAUCCCUCAUGCUUUUCAAUUAUGUUUUUUUUUUUUUUUUCCAAAAACAACUCCUUGCAGAUUUUCUUUCGUCUUUCUGUUUAUUUUUAUUUUUCUGUCUCUUUUCUACAACAUAUUUUUAGCCAUCAUGUUCACUUACACCAGCAUAAGUGCUAGAGCUCAUGCUUAUUUUUCUUUUUUGCCUGGCCUACUGUUUGACUACACGUAUUAUUACAAUUAUUUUUUAUUCUUAACUUCUCAAACAUGUUUCAUGCUGGAUGGCAUUUGAAGCUAGUAUCCAUGACAAUUCUGAAAGAUUGUCUGGACGCACUAUAAUUAGCAAUUAGCCUGUUGCUUGUGCAUCCUGUUCUUUCUUGGAGGUACAUUACAUACUGCUGCUUACUUUGAAAUAGUAUAUCAUAGUUAUAAUUUUGAGAUUUCCAUGUUUCUUCAGUUUUGCAGUUGCAUUUUAUGGCGGUUCAGCUCAUCCUCAAUUGGUUGCCCUUGUUGCACAAGUAAGAUGCCAACUUUAGUCAGAACUGGUGAAAAAAGUGGUGAUAUGCUAAAAAUUCUAGAAUUCAUCAGUGUAUUGAAAUUAUAUAAAAUCUUCUAUCCACUCAUUUAUCUGAAAUCAGCAUCAACCAAUAAUGAUGGGGUACAAAGGAUGAAAUGAUGUGGUUUAGUCAAUCUGAAAGUCCGAGUAAAAUUGUAAUUGUUAUUUUCAUGUUUCUAAGUUAUUCUUUACAUUUUGCACUUAUGAUAAAACUCUAAUUUUGAUGAAACUGCAGGAUGAGAUCAUUGCUGGUGGUGUUCAGGUUGAGCCACCAGGCAUGCAUAUGAUAUAUCUUCCAUAUUCUGAUGAUAUCAGACACAUCGAAGAGGCAAGAGAGAACUUUGAGUUGGUUAAAGAUGCUCUUCAGUAAGACUGACUUUAUAACUAAGGAAUUCAAUUACAUUUUGCAGCUUCAUUCGGAUAUAACUGUCCCAACACCUCGAGCAACUGAUGAUCAAAUAAAAAAGGCCACUGCUUUAAUGAGGCGCAUAGACUUGAAGGAUUUUUCAGUAUGCCAAUUUGCCAAUCCGGGUAAAAUCAUCAUAUUCUGCAUUGCUAAUUGUAGCUUAAAAAUAAGAUGGUUUCUUUGCAUAUGGUGUGCGAUUCUCUUGUGAUGGCUGUUUACUGUGUAUCUAACUUAUCUGCCUACUUCUGAAGUUCCCUAGAAACAAAAAUUGUACCAAAAAAAUAAAAAAAACAAACAAAAAAAAAGGUGGCUUUUUUUGGUCUGUAAAUUUUUUUUAUCCCUAGGGAAGAUCUCUGCAAUGGUAAAUUAUAUGACUUUUGAGAGUGUCUAUUUUGCAGUUAGAAGUCUCACUUCUUGCAAAACUACCAUUGAAACUCACCUGUAGACCCCAUUUUCUGGAAAACAAAAAAAAUAGGUUUGUAAUUUUGAAUUUGCCUAUUGACAUAAACCUUAUGGAAAUCUCAGUGUGGAUAAGUUAUUAUACUUUACAACAUUUUUAUUAAUUUUUGAAUGAUGAAACAUGAUAAUUUAUCCACUUGCAGAUAUAUUAUGCUACCUUCAUCUUGGUCAAUUCUGAAACUACAUCAUUCUCUUCAACUCUGGACCACAAAGAACAAUUGAUUGAUCUGAGAAACUCAAGGGUUGAUUCUGUCAUACUGUCAACAUCCCUGGAUAUAUUGAUCUUCACAAUACUCUAGGAUUUGUUAAUACACUCACUUGUACUCAAGCUUCAGUCUUUGGAAUUGAUGUCCUUGUGGAUUUAAUGAAUAUAAUGAUUUUUGUUUAAAUGAAAUGGGAAAUGGAAUGCCGGGUUGAUUUCUAUCUGAAUUUUCACUUUUGAUUCUCAGUAUGUAACAGAGUAACUUCCUGCAGCCUUGCAGAGACAUUAUGCAGUGCUACAGGCUCUAGCCCUGGAAGAAGAUGAGAUGCCUGAAAUCAAAGACGAAACUCUUCCAGAUGAGGAAGGGAUGGCUAGGUAAAUGGAAGCAUCUCUACUUGCCACAUCUUUUCUAUCCACCACUCUUUUUGCUUUUGUCCACUGCCCUUGAUUUUUGAAGAAAUUUUGUUUUUAUGGAUUUCCAAGUUGAAGCAAUGUCCAUUAUGUGUGUGGCCUACAGACCAGGAGUUGUCAAUGCAUUGGAAGAAUUCAAGAAGUCUGUCUAUGGGGAAAACUACAAUGAAGAAGAUGAAGGUCAUGGAAAAGCAAGUGAUGCCUCCAAAAAACGAAAAGCUGUUGCUGAAAAUGCUGUUAAGGAAUCAGCAAAAUAUGACUGGGCUGACCUUGCAGACAAUGGAAGGGUAAAAUGCAAUGUGCUUGUUUUUUGUGUUGCAAUUUGGUAUUGAAUUUUGUCGCUUGAGUGAAGUGAAAUAAAUUGAACCAAAAUGAGAUUUAGUGGUACAGCCACACUGAAUUGGGAUUAAAAUAAAAUCCAAAAAUCAGCUUAAGUUUGAUGCUAUCUGGAUGGUGUAUAAUUCAUGCAUGUUUUGCAGUUGAAAGAUUUGACGACAGUGGAGUUGAAGUACUACCUGACGGCGCAUAACCUUGCAGUUGGUGGAAAGAAGGAAGUUUUGAUCAGCAGGAUCUUAACUCACAUGGGAAAAUGAGGUGCUGCUUUCAGGCUGAUCAAUUUUGCCCCCAGCAGAGUAAGCUUUUGGUGAACAAGGGGAGAAAACAAAACCCACUAGUUUUGCUUGUAACUUUAGCUCAACCUUUGCACUUUGGGUUUUGGAAUCAUGUUUCUGAGAACUCACAGGGUUCUUCCUGGUGAUGAUAGCAAAAUUAGCAAUUGAUUUGGAAUUAUGUUGUAUGGAAUUCCAAAUCACAAAACUGUUCAUCAAAUUCAGUUCCUAAAAGGGGUGGAAGACCUAAUUUUAUGGUUCAAAAAUUUGCCCUUUUCCGCAAAUGAAUCAAAGUAAAUCUUGAGAACCAAAUCAUGGAGUCUCAAGCAAAAUGGCCUGUGUUUGGACUUUUGCUUCCAAAUUGGGCCAAGAUCCUAGUGUCCUGAACCAAGGAUAGUGGUCAUUACAUGGCCAAGACUUGGGCUAGUAUCGGAGGAGUGCGCCAGGCCCAAGCAGUAGUGCAACGCUAGGGCGACGCUCGAGGAUCCCAAUAGCAAGCUAUUGUGGUGGACCCUCCCCCUUAAAAAAUUAAUUUAAUAUCAUGUGGGACGAUGUCCCACGUAUCAGAUAUUAAACUGAUAAGAACAGAUACUACACUUGAUCUUAGCCAAAAGGCCGAGAAAGGUAUGCUUCUCUCUGUCUCUUCCUCUUCUUUUUAUAUCCCUUAGUGUUGAUGCUCCUUUCAUUCAUGGCCGAUGUGGGACUCCCAUUCCUCUACAAGUAUUUAAUAAUAUAAUAUAAUGAGGUGGGGUUGAUUUGAGAUAUUUGGUUAAAAAGUACUAAAAUCAAAUUUUAUAAUCAAUGAAUUACUUAUUUUAGGGAUUUUUCGAUGGGAUUAGAGUUAAUUAGAUAUGUUUUGAAAAGUGACUUAAUAACUUAAUUUAAGUUUUUAAAUAAAUUAAGUAUAUUGGUAUAAUAAUUUAAUGAUACAAUUUUAAAGUCAAAAAUAAUUUUAAAUAAUAAAUAAAAAUAAUUAAUUUAUUUUUAAAUUCACAUCUUCAUUUUACUUAUUCAUCUUCAUUAAUUUUAAUUACCUUCAUAAUCCCCUUUUUUAUUCCUUAACAUCCUUUACCCUAAUUAUAAUUUAUAAAAAUAAAUAUAUCAAUUUAUGAUUUAAAAUAAAUUUUAAAUUAAUUUUAUCAAAUAACCUUAAUGAUAAAAUUAAAUAAUAAAUUUUAAAUUUAUAAUUUAAUAUAAAAUCAAUUUUUAACACAUUCUAAAUGUCACCAUUAUUAUAGUGACGCAGGAGAAUCAAUUAUUUACAAGUCUUGAGAUGAAGAUGAAGUUAUAAUGAUGAGAAAAAAAGAUCAAAUUUUCUCGAAUUUUCAGAAGAAAAAAAACAGCCUUAACUUCUAUCCACCAUUUUUAUUGGAUUAUUAAAUAUUAUCCCAUUUAUUAUUUAAAUGAGAAUUUCAACAAAGAAAAAUGGAGAGAAUUAUGAAGCUGAGUGGAAAUUGAGAUUGAACACUCCGAUUUGCUGCCGUAAAGGGCUAAGAGAAAUCAUGAUGUACCUACAAGAACCCAAAAUAUUUUUACAAUGUGAUUAUGAGGGAGCCUGAGACGAUACGCCAACUAGUAGGCACUAUCAGACACUAAUAAGCGUUUGUGUAGCCAGGCGUAUUAAGCUUAAGAGUACAAAUCGAACCAGCUUAGAAUUGGGCUUAGACUUGGGACUACAUCCAGCAGAACAUAUAUUAGGUCACCUGGUCACCAGAAAAUAAAAGGCAAAAAGGAAAACCAAUAAUUCCCAUAAAUUGUCCACAUGAUUUAAAGAAUAGACUGUUUUACAUCCAGCAGGGAGCUACCCCUUAGAAGCUCCUCGCACUGUGCUCAAAACUCCCAACCCCGAGUUGGCCCAAUAAUUCAGAAACUACCCCAUAAAUAUCGACUAUACUCCGGCCCAAAAAGAAAAAGAAAAAAAAAAUGAUAAAAAUUGGAGACCACUCUUCACCAAAAAUUAUCAUUACAGCCAUCAAACACUGCACACCAUGCCCUCUAUCCAGAGAAAAAAAGAGUGAUUACAAAAGACAUCUUAUAAGCCCUGUAUGCAUGAAACCCUCACUGCUCUCACCCUCGUAGACAGCCUCAAGGGUUUAUGAAUGAAUAGAUACCCCUGGGAAAGGGAUAAUUCAGCCCAAAGAAAUGGAGACUAACCUACAGGAGACUCAAAAAAGGAAAAAGGGGCAAAAAAAGGGGGGAAAAUGACAACACAAACGGGUGCAGAAAGGCGAAUAGCCAGACUCACUCGGACAUGACUUUGCUUGAAUCCUCAAUUGGAGAAUUUCGGGAGCUCCAUUGUUCCCUAAUCCAUUUUUACUCCACAACAAACUUCGAACCUGGAGAACCUUCGUGACUCGUUGACCUCCAUGACCAUUGGACCAACCAAGAGCUCCAACAGAACUUGCAACUACUUCUUGGUAUCCUGAAACCAUUACUAGAUGAAUGGAAUAAACAAACAACAGGGACAGCAAAGCUAAUGUCAAGCCACCACACUGUCCUGAAAAUUGGAUCAUAAGGCACCCCCAGCUGAUGCCUUCUCCAUUUUUUCCUUUUCAAUCUCUACCCGCCUCUGUUCAGCAUGCUGGGCAACACCAUUAGCAAGUGCUUGAUAAUGGAAGUCAAGCGUCUGUGUAAGGUUCUGGAGCCUCAAUGGAUCUGAUGCUUGCAUGGCUAGAUUCAGAAAAUAGGGAAAAAUUAAAUUUCCAUGUCCGAAAGAAAAAAAAAAAGGCCCUGUGUUUCACACAGAUUGAAAAAUGAAUUUCUAUUUACCUUUGACAGUAUCCACGAAGAAAAUGAAAGGGUCCACCUCAUCAAUAGGUGAUUGCAACUCUUCAUCAUCACUGUAAUCAUUAUCCGAGUCAUCAUCGUCCUCAUCAUUUGGGCGAAGGUCCUUUGCCUGUGCAUCCAAAUAAUGUGUAUGAUCAGGAAGCAAAGAACACAAUGUUGUGAUUUUUUUUUUUUUUUUUUCUGGAAGGUAAAAUUUGUUGAUACUACACAAUGUUGUGAUAUACAAACAAAGAAAAUGAUAAAUAUUACACUUUCUGUGCAUAUAAGAAAUAAAUCUAUGAACAAAAACAAAAUCAUGAUACCAUUUGGCUGUUAAAUUUUGGCAUAUAAAAUAUUGAUUAAUUGAGGGAGCACUAUAGUCCUAUGCAUAAAUUAAAUAAAAAAAUCGACUCAUAAUAAAAUUUUCCUCUUUUUUUCUCUCUUAUACCUAAUCAUGUGACAUGGAUUCCUAGGAGAUGUUGAACUGUUCAGGAAUCAAAGAGCAGUAAAAUAGUUAACUUAAGCUCCAAAAAAAAGAUAAUCAUAGCAGUCAAGGCAACCAAUAAAACUAAGUGUCAGCCUAUAGCUGCUAUAAAGAACACCUCAACCCAGAGGACACUUAACUAGUGCCACCUUUUUGCUAGGGACUGCUGUUUUGUCCAUCAAAACAAACAAACAAACAAAUCAUAUCUUGAAUCUCCUCAAAAGCAUAUCCCUCAAAAAUAAUCUCAUGCCUCAUAAAUCCAAUAAACAAAAAACAUGGUAAACAUGGCACAAGAACACAAACACUUUUGCACCAUCAGAUUUCAUUUUUACCAAUUCUUUUAUGGACGGAGCUUCUCUUUCAUCAAUCUCAAGAGUCAAUUGGAUGGUGAACUGAUCAAAGAAAGCUUCUGAGCAUGUAGGAGAAGAAGAUAAUUGGGUUUGAUGGAUCAAGCAAGGCAGUAGUCCCUAUAAUCAAAUCUGUCUUUCACCCAUUUCAUUUUAUCAACAUGCAUUUUAAUUGUCUGCAACUUUUUUGUAAUAAGCUUUUUGCACUUCCAUAGGUUUCUGUUUCUCUGAGUGUAUCGACUAUACUAAGGGAUGACACCAAUACUGAGUCAUCUCAAGAUCACACCACUAAAUGCCUUAUUGGCAUACCAUGAUUGAUGCCAAUAGUUAAAACCAUUGUUUGAACUGAAAACAAAAUGAAAUCCAUUUUAAUGAGAAUACCCAAUAAUAGAUCUGAAAUGGUUGUAAAAACAGACCUGUGCUGCUAACUUCUGAAGUCUAAUACUGUCAGCUUCAUCCCCAUCCUCCGCAUCAAAUCCCAUUUCUUUGUCAGAACCAUCACCAUCUUCAUCUUCAUCAUCUGUUUGGAAACCAUCCAUAUCAUCAUCAUCGUCUUCGGCCUCUUCCUCCUUUGCAGCUUCUGUAAAUAUAAGAAUUUAAGAAAAGUGCACCAAAAUAGGACUAAGACUGUUGGAGCUUGCACUCAUUUUAUCAUUUGAAGGAAGCAGAAACAAAGUCCAAAAUUCAGCAGAAAGAGAGAGAGAGAGAGAGAAGACCUGCCACUUGAUCCUUGUAUGCAACUAGUAGAUCAAGAGUGGCCCUGAAAAUACGUCCCAAGGCCUCCCCUGGCAGCUGAUCAGCUGGAAGUGCGAGCAGUGAUGUUAACCCCAGGCAGCAAACUUUUUUAUCAUGUUCCCUGCAGCAAGAAAUUACAUUAUACUUCAUCAAUAUAUUUUUUGUUUUUGAUCAGGCAAAAAAAGAAAUUGCAUGAUACUCAAGCUCUUCUCUGGCUAAAGAGUCGAAUAAUAAAAAGUUUGGAGGAUGAGAGGAUUAAUAACCUCUUGAAAUUUGCCCGAACACCGCUCUUUUUAACUUGCUGCAACAUCUGGAACCAAAGGCCAAAAAUUUCUGUGGCAACACCUAACUUGUGCAAUAUGCUGAGAGUCAAGGCUGCAUUGUAGUAGAGAGCAUCUGCAAUCUGCAAAAGAAUGCAAAUAGCCUUUUUAAAAGAACAUUUUACCUCAAGAAGCUCCAGUGUAUCAUAAGAAUGUUAAAAGCACAUGCAUUGUACACUUGUAUAUAUGCCUACUAUAAUUCACUCAAUAAUUAGGAAUUAUUAACUUAAACAUUCAGACACAUGGAUCUGCACUUUAUUGAUAACAAAAUGGAUUACUAGUAAUCCUUGAUUACGGACAUAUCAAAUUGAUAAUCAAUCUUCCAUUAGAAGACUUUUUUAUACUCAAUCUUCCAGUAGAAGACAGCCUUUUUUAUUUCUUUUCCUUCCCUAGACUUCAUACUUACAGAUCCAACAUGAACUAGAUGAUGACCAAGAUCAGAAUUUGUAGGAUGAAAUAAGUAAAAGAAAAUUAUAUGGAGGCAGUGAAAUAUCAGAAAAUUUGACUUUCAUUAUUGUUCUGUAUCCAAAUUUAGGUAUUGUCCCCUCUUCCCAGAACUAGUUUUUUUGCUGUACAAACAUAGGAGAAAACAUUAGGAUGUUGCUAACCCAAUCAUUUCUCAGAUGAUAAAAUAUAUUCUUGAAAAAACAAAUAAUAUCCAUCAAUAUAGAAUCAACAUGUUAGAGCUAGCAAUGUAUCAGCGAUAAAGAUGAGUCUCCCAUCAUCGCACCUAGAACCAAAAAAAAAGUGAAACUUUUAAUUCAAAAUCUGCCACAAGAAAAAUGAAUUUUUUUAAUAAUGUGAUUCCACACAAAACAACAUUUGAAUAAGUCCUCUUAAGAAUCAAGAAACAGAGAAAACAAUGGAGAAAUAAAGGAUUUCAUAAAGAACAUGUAAAACAUAUGAAAUACCGUAACUGAGCAUGCAAAUAUUGGCCUGAAUUUUAAAAAUAUAAAACCUACGAAGCUAGAUGCUUAUGAGACAUCAGCAUUCAAAGGAUCAUGUGAACAUUUUCCCAAUAAAGAUGUUGACUCCCAGCUCCUUACCACUUGAAUGAGUAGACAUUUCAAGUAUGGCUUCUCUGCUCGACGCAACCGCUCAACUGUGAUUCUGAGAUAUGGCUCAACCCAUUGAUCUACCUGACCUCUGCAAUUCUGAAACACUACUUCAAUGAGCUUAGGAGCGGGUUCAAUAUCACUAUCCUCCAUAUUUCUAUCUGGCAUGAUCUGCAUAUGGGAAGCCAGAGCAAGUCAAUCUCACCAACCCAAGAAAGGAAGGGAAAAUGAGCCAAAAAAAUUCACAAAAACAUGAAACAAGUCUUCAGCAGAUCACAGAUCAACAUUUUCCUCAUGUUUUAAACCAAAAGCUUAUAGUCAGACCUAAUGAGGUAAAAUUAAAACUCACUGUUGAAAUCAUAUCCCAAAGGCUUUGCUGAUAGUUUGGAUCCUUGCAUGUGAGAAAAUGAGCAGUACUUCGGGAUAUAUAGUUGUCCAAUGGAACCAGAAUAUCUACACGGAAAAAAGAGCUUCAUUAGAACCACAAACAUAUAAGAAACGAUACCAAAGCUGCUUUACAACUAACAUAUUGUCUAGACAAGAAAAAUGUGUUAUUGGUCCAAUAUGCUAUUUGUAAGGCAUUAGGGAAUGUGAUAGAACAGUAUUCUAAGCCAAUUACAAAACUAGCCAAAGGUAACAAGCUAAAUAAUGAAUAAACUUGAAUAUAAGCAAUGGACAAUAUUCAACAUUUUCUCAAUUAAGGUUGUUGUUUGAGCUGGGAAACACAUCAUGGAUCACCAACAUGAAGAAUACUUCCAACAGAAGUUUAAAAUGUGAAUUGACAUGUGCAUAAAGGUUCAGUUUUGAUUCAAGCACUUCUGCAAGUAUCCUGGAAGCAAGUUAAGCAAAACAAUCAUUUCUCAUCCCUCUUUCUAAUAAAAUUUUGGGAUACCCAGAGUAUGAUCUCCCAAAACCACUAUUAUUAUUGUAUUUCUUUCUAUCGCAUCCUUCAGUUUGGAAUUAUCUUUUUGUGUAUCUCAUGUAUGUCUCCAACUAAAGGGAGUGUAAACUCAAGGUUUUAUUGCAGCAUAGCUACCAUCAGACACCUAUCAAUAUCACAGAUAAAACACUCUUUCAGGAACAUUAAUUAGUAAUACUAAUCAAAUGUUUUCUCUUGGUAAUACAUUCGUCACUUUUUCAAAGACCGGACUUUUCCCAUAUCAACUUUGUGUAAUUUGAUUAAUGAGAUGUUCACAUAUACCACAUGAGCAUAACUGACAAGGCUCUUGAAGAUUACAGAUAAUAAUGAUAAGAAAGGAUUUAUUUGCAUGCUCUUAUGUACUUAGCACGUUACUUUAUUACACCCCAUGAUUAGUUAAACGAUGUCAUAUAUUUCCAAAGAGAGAAAACAUACGGAAGGUCAGAACAAUAUUAUAUAGGCAAUAAAUUUUCAUCAUGCAAAAAGAGUAGGAAACUUCAGCUGUUGUUUUUUAUAGGCAAUGAUGUAAUUUUAUAAACAAUACAGAGGAUGCAUGCAACGAGCGCCAAAGAAACAACAAAAAAUGGCGCCAAGGAACAAUCAAAAAGAGAAAAAAACAAAAAAAACUCCCUCCUUUAACAAGACCCCAGCCAAUCAACUAAAUCAAUUAAAGGCAUUAUGCCUCCACAACUAGACUGUUAACCAAAAAGUCAAUAGCAAUAUAUCAAUUUCCCUGCAUCACUCUACAGCUUCCAUCAUACUAAUCCAAUUAUAAUGAGGCACACAAAGUUUAUCAAAGAAGCCAGCUUUUUCUUUCCUUUUUCUUCUCUUUUCUUUGUGUGCGUGUGUGUGUGUGUGAGCACAAGCACACGCAACAGGUUUGAUGACAUCACACCCUCAGGGAAGUUCUAUGGCAUUUCAGCAAUAACAUAAGGUGUGAUCCUUAUAAAUUGACAAAAAAAGUCUCACAUUUCUUAGAAAAUCAGAAAGAGAGUUCACCAUGAAAGUCCUAAUCAAACCCAGCAUUUGGAAGAAGCAAAUAAAAAACCAUCAACAAAAAGGUCUCAAGAUUCUACAAGACAUUGAAUGUUAUGUUUAAUAAUUUAAUGAAAACGUACUGGGAAAAAAAUCGAUUGCCCAAUCUGCCAGUGCUUCCAUCAUCAAAGGCCAAAGGCUCCACAUUUCCAAGGAGAUUGUCGGGGAAAAAAAUGUCAUAUAUGAUACAAUUUCCAAAACCUCUUCAAAAACCUCUGCAAAAAUGAUAAAUGAGUGUUAAAAGAGUCAUUGUACAAACAAGUGAUGCAUUCAACACAUAAGAAAGCAAUUCAAAAAACAAGGCAUCAAGGAACCACAAACAUUUUAUCCAAGAAAGAAUUCGAGCACAGCAACAAAUGAUUUAACUAAAAUUUAUAUUAGAAACUCACAGACGAUGACAUAAAAAUUUAAAAAAUCAUAUAAGAUUCAUUGCCAGAAGGAUUAUAAUGGGGAGACCAAAUUUUUAAAGUUCCUUUUCUGUAUUCCUUUUAGAUAAUUCAAAGACUACAUUUAACUUAUAUAUAUAAUCUGAUAGUUGGCAUCUCAGUUUGUUCAAAUCUUAAUGAUUAUGAAAAUUGAUGACUUGGCUUCUCUUCCCGUCCUGAGAGUCUACCUCUCUAUGCUUCCAGAUGAAAUACGCUGAACUCUAGCAAAUGCUAGAAACUAGAUUCAACAAGGCCUCUCUCCUACCAAAUUCAUUUGGAAGGGCAAAGCAAAAUGCAAACUUAAAGCCUUGGCUCGGUCAGUGACCCAUUAGGAGGCCAUUCAAAAUUCUUAACUUUCCAAUACGUGUUUUAUGUUUGGAUGACAGGGAGAUGAUUGAUUACCAUUAUCAGAUUGCCCCUCAGAUUAAGAGGGUUUUCAUUUCAUGUUAUUCAUUGGUUAGGUCUCAAGAGAGAUUUUUUUUUUUUUUUUUUUUUUGAUGGGCAAGGUCUCAGAGGGAUUACAAAGAAAACGAAGUGAUGAUGGAUACAUACUUCGCAGGAUUUGGUAGAAAGGCACAGACAGAACUCCAUGGUAUUAGUCCUUGCUAUUACAAGGAUUUUGGCUUGGAAAAUUGCAAGGAUAUUCAAUAAUAAGCAUGUGACUUUAGAAGAGAUUUGAAAUAGCAUAUUCUUCCAUAUGUAUCUGAGAAGAUAAAUGUCUCAUGAUAUAUCUCUGAGUUUCAAUAUAUCUCUGAGUCAGGCUUGUGGGAGACAAGUUCCUUUCUGGGCUCAGGACAACUACACAAAGAGUGUGUGGUUUCAUUGUGAAGGUGAAUCCUAUAUGAUCACGACCCUAGGAAUAUACUAAAACAAUCAGGGAGGUUAUACAUCACUCAGUUAGGCUAGGGGCAGAAGCAAUAUGAGAGUACAGAUUGGUGAAGUUGAAGCAAAACAUUUGGCAGAAGAGAGUCUCAAUAAAAUUCAUUUAUUUUUUUUUUUUUAUCAAUAAGCAAAAGAAUUGUAUUGCAAAGGGGCGCUAAAAUAGCGACCCACAGAAUUACAGUAUAAAUACUCACCCCCUUACAAAAGGACCCAAAACAACAAGGAAAAAACAAAAAACCUUCUCCCUCAUCGCGUACCCACCCAAUCUACAAGAUCUAUUAAGGUCGAAGGACCACCUUUUAUCCACAAUUUGGUUUCCGACCAAAGUAAAUACACAAAAGAAGCUUUCAACCUUUGGAUGGACAACACGCUAUCUUCUAAAGCAAUUCUAUUCCUUGCCUUCCAAACGACCCAAAACAAGCAUAACAGUCCCACUUGCCACACCUCCUUCCUCUUCUUACCCACAAAAGGGCCCCUCCACCCUAAAAGGGUUUCCUUUACCGAAGAAGGAAACACCCAAGAAACUCCAAAUAAAGAAAGGAGCAACAUCCACACUUCCCUUGUUUUUUCACAAUGAAGGAGGUGAUCAAUCGACUCCUCAAAAGUUUGGCACAAAAAGCAUCUAUUAUCCAAAGCCCAACCCCUCUUUUGCAAACGGUCCAAGGUUAGAACUCUUCCCCACGAAGCCUCCUAUGCAAAGAAACUUAAUUUGGGCUGCACACAAGAUUUCCAAAUAAUCUUCGAAGGAAAAGAAGCAAGAGAAACCGGUUGCAAAGCCCUAUAUAAAGACUUAACUGAAAAAAACCCCAUCCUUUGAAUCGAUCCACCUCACCCUAUCCUCCUCAUCCACACUAACCUUCUUCCAAUCCAAGCAACAAACAACCUUUCCACAUCUUCCAACUCCUAAUCAUUGAAAGGUCUAUUGAAACAAGGAUUCCAACUUCCCCCCCUUUCCCCCACGGCUGUCCAAACUUCAUUUACCCAAGCCUCUUUGGAACUUGCUAGAGCAAAUAAGGAAGGGAACACCUCGCACAAAGGAGUGGUUCAACACCACUUGUCUUUCCAGAACCUCACCUUCUUUCCAUCACCCACCACAAAGUCAAAAUAAGGGGUUACUAGAUGUCCCAACUUACUUAUUGCUUUCCACAACCCGACUCCAUAGGCCUCCCUAGCCUCACAAGAGCUCCACCCUCCUCUUUCCUCUCCGUAUUUCCUUCUAAUCACUUGGUUCCAAAGGGUCUUUCUUUCAAAAGCAAAGCGUCAAACCCACUUGCCAGGGAAAGCCUUAUUGAAAGUCCCAAGACUCUUAACCUCCAACCCUCCUUUACUUUUUUUCAACACAAACAAUCAACCACCUUACUAAGUGCGGUUUUUGCUCAAGAGCCCCACCACCUCACAAAAAAUCCCUUUGAAUCUUCUCCAAUCUCUUUCUAACUACCCUAGGCAGCUGGAAAAUAGACAUGAAAUAAUUCGUCAAAUUGGACAAAGUACUUCGCAAUAAGGUAAUCCUCUCCCCUUUUGAAAUGUAUUGACGUUUCCAUAUAGCCAAUCUCUUUCGGAAUCUUUCUUCUAUUCCAUUCCAAGCGGCGGCAGAUUUAAAAGGAGCACCCAACGGCAUUCCUACGUAGGUGGAGGGCAAUCUUUCCACCUUAUAACCAAACUCAUCAGCUAGAUCUUCCACAUUCUCAACUCUACCAACCGGAAUCAACUCAUUUUUUUCCAGAUUCACUCUUAACCCUGAAAUUGCCUCAAACCACAUUAACAGCCAGCACAAAUACGUCAACUGCUUCUCCUUUGCCUCACAAAAAAUCAACGUAUCAUCAGCAAACAAACAAGUGAAAGACCUGGACCCCUUCUUCCCCGAACCGAGCAAGGAGAUAAAAAACCUCCAACAACUACUCUCUUCAGCAAACAGUUGAAGGCCUCCAUCACAAUUACGAAUAUGUAAGGCGAAAGGGGAUCUCCUCGCCUUAAACCCCUUGAGCUCUAAAAAUAUUCAGUCGGGCUUCCAUUCACCAUAACUAAGAAUCUAGCAAUGGAUAAACACCACUUUAUCCAUCUACACCACCUUUCCCCAAACCCCAUCUUUUCCAUUACCGCUAAAAGAAAAGACCAGUCCACAUGAUCAUAAGUUUUCUCAAUAAAAUUCAUUUAUAGGGAGUCUCAAUAAAGCAAGGUUGAGGUUAGGUUUUGUUCGUUGGGUUUUGAGUCACUUUUGUAUUGCUCCUUUAUGAUAUCAAGAAUUGUCCACCGUUGAUCAUGUCAUUCUCUGUUUCUUGAAUAAUAUUAAAGACUAUUUCUGAAUUGCAGCUCAACUUUAACUGAAGUUUAGAAAUACAAUAAUCCAUGGAAGUCUCAAAUCAAUAACCUCAGAAGUAUAUAGAGAAACAGAAGUUCGAGAAGAGGAGCAUAGAUUAAGGGCAUUCAUAUAAGUCUUAUGGGAUCUCAUUCAUUUCUAUUCCUCCUUUUGGAGGCCUCAUGCACCACAAAAUUUAUGGGCACUCCUUUCGAAGUGGUUUAGAUCAAUUAGUGUUUGGUGUGUAGAUCGAAAGGUUGCGUUAGCAAGGAGAGGAUCAUAGAUUAGGUCUCUUUUGGAAGGAGAAGUUUAUCUAAUAUUGGAGCAAUGAGUUGUUCUUUUUGUAUAUUCCCUUGUGGUACUAUACUGAUGUAUAGGUCUACUUAGCAUGUUGGAGGUUUCAUUCACACUUUUUUUAUCAGUUCAUUAAAGCAGUAUGAUUCAUACCUUGGCCAUCAGUUGUCAACAUCCGACGCAUUAUAGGAAGCAGUGUUGGCUCGAUCUGCACAAAAAGGUGAGGAAGCCUGCUCACUGAUUCAAGAAUUGUGCUUAUAGCACGCAAACAACCAACUGCAGCCAAAGCACCAGGAUCAUCAGCUUCAUCGUCAGCUUCAGCAGUGUUCAUACACCUCCAAAAUGCAGCAGCCUGGAGAAAGAAAAAUAAGAUCCAAGUACACAUGAUAGAAAACUGCAGCAUACAUAUUCCCAGAAAAGGAAGGAAAAGAUCAUACCAAAUUCUGGCAUAAUCCAAGAGCAUAAGGUGCCAUCUCCUCCCCAAACUUGUCGACAAUUGUCUCAAGUGUAAACACGAGAUCCUCAUUCUCAACCUCAUUCAUAAGUUUGAAAAACUCUGAAGAAAGUGAAAACAAGAUGAACAUCCUCGAAAAGUCGCACAUGAAAGACUGUUACUAGUAUAUUAUAUAUAUGAAAAAAAGGUUGUUACCAAUAAUUUAUCAAAACCACAUACCAUCAAGAAGUUGAGGAAGAAUUGGACGGAUCUCAUUCAAAUCUGCACAUGGACAGAAUCCACUUUCCAUCAAGCACCAAAUCUCCGUAAAUAAUAAAAAUUAACAUUAAAAGAGGAGAAGUACCUUUGCAUGCUUCAACAAAAGAACGCAAUGCAAACACUGAAUCAACACGAACUGGAAGCUCAGGAUCGCGCAACCCAGAAACAACACUAUGCAGCGCUUUCCGGAAAUUAUUCUGAUCUGAGAAAUUAAUGUGGGCAUAUUGUCCCGCAACCCAUGCAGCCUAAUAUUCCUCACCAUAAAUAAGUAAAAUCUCACAGAAAGGAUAGCAGACAGAAUGAACUUUGAAGAUAAGGCAAGUAAUUGGGGAAAAAGCUAAAUGAUCAAAACAACAAAAUGCUAAUUAAACAGAAUAGUAUGGUAAGAAGAAGGGGAAAUAGAAAAGAUAGAACCAAGAAAAGGUAUAGCUAUCAUCCUCCAUUUCACAACAUUCAAAGUGAUAUACCAAUAAUGAUGCAUCACUAACUAAACAUAAGGAAAAGCAAACAAGAAAAGUAGAAAGUCAUAAAAUUAACCACAAAACUAACACCUCAUUAUUGAAUCCCUGUGAGCAUUGUGGCUUUAUUGUUACUACUUGCAUUGACAAGAGAAUUUAAAUUUUGAAAGGCAUAUAGAAGAAUAAUUUCCAUCCAUAUGGUAGUCCAAUCCCUAAGCUAUUUAGGGCACUUAGUAUUGUUUAAUGCUAAAAAACAUUCCAUAUGUACCAAAACUUUGACAUAACAUUGGAGAAUUCCAACAGCAAAUCCUUCUACAUGUUAUCAUCAUGACUUGGACCAGGUGGAGAUAUCAUAAACAUAUUUUUUUUAUCAAUAAGUAUAAUAUGUAUAGCAAAGAGGUGCUAAAGAAGCGACUCAAAGAGUUACAGUAUAGAUCAACUAACCCCCUUACAAAAGGACCCAAGACCCUAGGAAAGCACCAAAAACCCUCUCCCUUAACGCAUACACUCAUUCUAUAAAAUCUAUUAAGGUCGAAGGACCAUCUUUUAUCCACAAUUUGGUUUCCGACCAAAGUAAAUACACAAAAAAAAAUUUCAGCUUUUGGAUGGACAGCACACCGUCCUCAAAAGCAAUAGAAUUCCUAGCCUUCCAAAUAACCCAAAACAAACAUAACGGUCCCAUUAGCCAUGCCACCUUCCUCUUCUUGCCCACAAAAGAGCCUCUCCAACCUAUGACAGUUUCCUUAACCGAAAGCAGAAAAAACCCAAGAAACUCCAAAAAAAGAUAGGAGCAACGUCCACACCUCCCUCGUUCAUAAACAUAUAUAUAUAUAUAUAUAUAUAUAUAACAGAAAUACAGGCCACAACUAAACAAAGACAAUACAAGUUUUAGACUAGGCUAUGUAUGAAACCAAAAAAGCAUACCAGGUUAUUUAUACUUCAAUAACAAUAUUAUCACAUUACUAUGCCAUGAAAAAGUACCUUGUUUUGAGUUCUUUAUACAUUAUAAACACCAGAAUGAAAGGAACCAUUUAGUACAAUACCAGCAACCUUAAAAAGAGCAUCAAUCAAAAUCAUAAAAACUUCAAAUUUUAGUUACAUAUAGUGCAAUAAAUGCAUAAUUCAGCUCAAAAUGCCAUUUCCAAAGAAGUGAACCAAUAACAAAUUAUGCUUUAUUAUUCCUUGCAAAUUGAGAGAAUAUUUAAAUUCAACAUUACUGGUUCAAAAAAAUAUAAUGUUUCGAAUGCAAUAUUUGCUUUCAGCAGGAAUUAAUCCAUAGAUAGGAAAAGACAACACUAAACCAAUUCAGGUGCAUAAUAAAUUUAAGCAAAUACAACCACAAACCUUGGCUCUAAGAUGGCCAACAGGACUGCUGAACUCAGGGAAAACAUGUUGCACCAACAUAUGCUCAAGCUCAGACUUGUAGGGUUCUGUCUGUUUCAGCUUAUCACAAAGGGCUCCAAUAGCAAGAAGUGCACCAUCUUUCUGCCGAUAGGCUUUAUAUUCCAGUGAGGCCUCAUCAUACCUGGAUAAAACAAGAACGCAAUAAGACAAGCACCAUUAGAGUUACUUAUGAUUUAUUAGCAAACAACCACAAUUUCUCUAUGUUGACAGAAACAUUGAGAACAUACCUUUUAAAGAUUUCUACGAUAAAUUGAAUAAACUUAUGAAGGUUCUCUUUUGCGCGUUUUCUAACCAACUCACUCACAAAAUCCAUGGCAGCAGUCCUAGGACUAUACAAAUCUUCAAUGAUAUCUGCAGCAAAGUAAAAGAAGGGUAAACCACUUCUUCUAUCCAGACUCCAACAAUGAUAUAACUAGCCUAGGCAUUUAGGCUACAAAACAAGUAUUAUAAAGACUUACCAUAACCCUUCCUUACAUACUCAUGUGGAUCUUCAUCCCAAAGCUUUUGAUCAUUGUCAUUAAAGCACAUAAGGGGAAAAACUAUCUCAAAGAGAAGAACAUCGAGCCGUGGUUGCAGCAACUGAUACAUACUCAUCUUUGAGAUACUACAUACAAAUAAAAGUAGGAGGUGAAAUACAGAAGUUAGUCUUUCGAAUGAGAUUAUAACAUAGCUGACUCAUUUCACAUCCUAUCAUAAGCAGCAUACAAGGCAUUCAAUGAUCUAAAAAUGAAUGUGUUAAAGAGCUCAGACAAACCAUAGAUGACAACUGAAUUAAAUAUCACAUUAUAAGUUACAAAAGGUACAUGACAAUCAAAGCUCUAGACAUAAGAAGAUUAAGCUACUCUGCUGAGGAUAAAAGAAAAUAAAAAAUAAAAAGGAUAGGUUUUGGUCAUUUACUGCAUGAUCUAGCUCUCUAUAAGUAUCAUUUUUACAUGAAAGAAUAAAAGAAUGAAAACUGAACAUAUGCAGCAUCAUCAUAGAAAGUGCCGUGUAAACAUUAUUUGAUGCCCAAAGUCAACUUUAACCUGCUUUGCUGUAGAAAGAAUUCUCUGCUUAAGUCAUAGCCAUUCUCUUAUUCAAUGCUCAAGUUUUUUCAUUAAUGCCAGUGUGAUGACAAAAAGCAAGAGCAAUGUUUCCUCUUGCAUUGUAUAAAAGCUUAUAUUGCUCCUUCCAGAGGGAAAUUUAGAAAUCUAAGCUCAUGAUUUAGUGUUUGCAUUAAGCCGUACUUCCCAUAUUGCCACAAAAAAAAAGCUCUUUUUCUCUACUACGCUGACUACAAUUGCCUUUUUGGUAAAGGCUAGUACAAUUGAACAAGCAACAGAGUUUGAAAUGCACUGAAGAAUAAUGCUCAUUUAUCCUCUGCUUCAGAGUAUAUAGCCCUCCCAAUCCAUUUGUGCUGAAGCCAAACAGAAUGCUAAGGAUUUGCUUCAUCGCAAAUCCCCCACAGAGACAGCAAGAAAGUGGACUGUCCAACAUAUUAACAAACAUUCCAUGUUUAUUUUCCAAAAGUCAAGCAUUCUUUUCCAACUAAAUAAUAGAUAACAAGAGACAGUUGAGGAGCUACUUUUCAACCCAUUACAAUAUCAAUUCAAGUAAAUAACCAUAUCACAUAAGAAACCUUGAAACUGUUCCAGCAAGUUUGAAUAGUUUUUUUGCAAUGAAUAGCACGACAUGGGGUAACAAAGAAAUAAAUGUUCUGCUUUUUUUUGCCUUUUUAUGGGCAAGCAAGAAAUAAAUGUUCUACUAUCUGACCGUUAACAUACUAAUUUUUAAUGAUAGACAAACUGAGGAUAUAUUAAGCGGUAGCUAACAAAAAAGAUGAAACCAUAUCUACACGGGGGGUUUACAAGAGGCACCAAAUUAAGAAGGAAAAAAUAAGUCCUACACAAAAGAAUCAAAAGUAAUAGACAAAAUACCCACAGUUUUGACUGUCUAAAAAAUCCAACAAUAUACAAUUAGCCACUCCCAACAUGAUCUAGACCAGGUAUUUAAUGAGGUUCUCCUCCAACUAUUUAAUAGCUAUUAACUUAAUUGAAGACCCAGCUAUUAAGGCUCUCUCCACAUACACCAAAACAAGCAAAGGAGAGCCAUGCACCAUACCUUCCUCCACCUCUUAUCCAAGCCUCAAUCCUUCCAGCCCAACAGGAGAUCUUCCACUGAAUAUUGCUGGUAGCAUAUUGCACAACUUUCUAGUUUCAUCACAAUCAAUAAAGAUGUGGUUUGCUUAUUUUCACUCACUUUAUAAAGAUUGAAUUUGUUUAUAUAUACACACACACAUAUAUAUAUAUAUAAAGUCCUCAAUGGGUCUCAGUACUCCAGAUUCCUUCUUUUUUUUUUUGGAUCAGAAACAAACAAAUGUGUUAAUGGAUAAUAAAAACAUAAAAAGGAUGAGAGGUCCUCCUCAUGAAGUACAAAUUUGAUCAAAAGUAACUAAGUAAACCUCCACAAAACAAAGCAAGGACAAAAGGCCUAUACAAGUAUAACAACACCAGCCCCUAUAACCCACCCCUAAUGUGAACAAAUCGAGAGCCAACUAAGGUGAAUAACACUCAAAGGGUAGGGUUUAAAAAUGUCAAUACAAUAAGCCCAAAAAGAAACAAAAAAAUGAAGCAAAUCCCACAAUGAAUCCAGCGUCCUCCACAUGUUCUCGAAAAUCUGAGCGUUCCUCUCUCUCCACACAAUCCACAACAAAGAGAGACAUGUUAUCCUCCAAAGAGUUCUACCUCUAAUUGAAGUCCCAAAACACCUUAAGGAGAUCACCAUCAUAUCACAAACACUGCCUAGCGGAACCCACUCCAUCUUAGCCUAUGAAAAAAUCCUAUGCCACAAUCCCAAAGUAAUCAAAUAAUGCAAGAAAAGAUGUUCAAUCGUCUCACCACUCCUAUAUAGGAUGCACCAAUCAGGACCAAGGACUUUGAAAGGUCUUCUCAACUGUAGCAUGUCAUUGGUAUUUACCUUUUUAAGUGUCACUAACCACACAAAGGCUUUGACCUUAGAUGUUGCUCUUGAUUUCCACAAAAAAUUAGUUGGUAGAAGGGGACUGAAUUUGGAGAAAAGGAUAAGGCUGAAAAAAAAACAAUUUUACUGAGAAAACUCCUGAAGAGGACGGUACCCAAGAUCUCGAAUCUAGAAUAGGAGACAAAUGGAAAUUGGACAGUGAUGACAUUAAUCUUUCAUGAUCCUCAAUCUCCAUAUCUAUUAAAUUGUGACGAAAAGUGAGAUCCCAAACAAUGAAGUUUUAUUACCAAGGAUAGCAGAGAUAGGACAAUUUUUAGUAGUGGUGACUUUGAAAAAACUUGGAAAUUGUAAACACAAAGGUUGAUCCCCCCGUCACAAAUCUUUCCAAAAACGAAUUUUGGACCUAUCACCCGCUACAAAACGAGUAUGUAGAAGAAACUUGGAGCGAAUAUGCAAUGGUCUUCCAAAGGCAACGAUGUGACCAUCUGACUUUAUUGUUGGUGUCCCAUCCAUUAGGAUAUGUCCCAUAGAUACUCAAGAUGACCUUAUGUCAAAGGGUAGUACUUUCCUUAGGGUACCUCCAAAGCC